UAUAUAUAUAUAUAUAUAUAUAGAUGGUUCAAGCAUUUUUGAUGUGAUGAGAUUCAAUGUCUUCAACCAUGUGAAGGAAAAAGUUGAGCAAGGUUCCUGGAUGUGGGGUAUCUUCCUUCAGCUUCUCAUAGUCGAGAGUCCAUGUAAUCAAACUUUCUUUGUCACCAAGAACAUCAACAUGGUAUAUGAUAGUGAAGGUCUUGUACAGCUCCAUGAGAUCUCCUUCAAUCAUCUUAAAUACGAUUGAUUUCUUUUCUUCAUUUAUGUCCUGAAUAAUCUCCUUUGCCACCCUAUCUUUCCCGUCUGUAAAAAUGAAAAUUAAAUCGAUUACAGACUCUCCAAUUCCUAGUCAACAUGCUGGUAAUCCAAAAACAAGGUUUGCGGAAUUCUUUCUUUUUGUUUUUUUGCGCAAAAAAGUAUGUUUUGAUUAGGAUAGACUAUACCAUUUACACAACCAGGGAAGUAUUCUCGUUGUGAAACACCAGGUAUAUAGCAAAAGAAAAAAAAUCAGUAGUAUUUAUUAAUUGAAUUCUUUACGAAGAUGGACUUCCUUAAUUAACCUUUGUUGUUUCCACAAUCAGAUUAUUGUCUUUGUAUAAAUACUAAUGAUAAUAUUAAUAAUAAGGUUAACGUAAUAGAUCUAGUCCGUUUUUCAUUAAAACUUUUCCCGAGGCAGAUAUUAAGCUUUUAUCCUUUCUUUUUCUGGCAAAUAAGUUAGAUAACUAGUUGUAUGCCAGUUCAAAGCAGGUAAAAACAGAUGGAGAGAGUUUAAAUCAACUUAGUCCAGAAGCUGACUAACAUGCAACAAAAGCUAAAUGAAUAAAGGAAAAACAAGAAAAACUGCGAGAGAAGAAAGAGCCAAAAUAAGGAACUUGAAUAUUGAUUUCAUACCAUGGGUAUAAUGCCAGCAGAUUUUGGAUCCAACAGUUCCAAGAUCACCACCAAGCAAAGUAAACCCUUGAACUUUCUCAGGAGUUAUGGUGGCAAGAUCAUGUGGUCUUUUGCUUAAGACAUCGUGGAACACAUCUCCUGCAGGGCCAUGGAUGUUAGUUGACCAAUCAUUUUACCUUUGAGCCCCAUUUUUUUUCUGAGAAACUGAGAAGGAAAUGACCAAAUACUGCUGCAGCAAAAAAAUGCAAAGAAAUAUGGUCUACUAGACUAUCCCUUUGCUCCUUAUAUAGUAUAGAACUGAUGGGUGACUUCACCCCCCACCUCCACCCCCACCCUUUCUUUUUUUCAAUUGGGGUCUAUAAACCACGUAAGAGGAACCAAUUAUCUUCGCUAGCAACUAUCUUUUUUUUCCCUAGUUCUGCCAUUGUUACAAAGUUUUUUUUUUUAAUUCAUGAGAUGUUGUAUUGGUAAAUCAGCCCUAAUAAAUGAUACUCAGCAUCUAUUAAAAUGUGAUUAUCCUCAUUGUCUAUUAAUCUAUAAUCAUAUUACAUCUAUAGUUUUGCACUUAGGGUCAACAGACUCGACGCCAUUCAUUUUUUUAAUGCCUACAACUAAGGUUUUCUUGUGGGCAACUUAAAUUUUAUUUUGAUCGAUAUUUCUUAGUCUCAUUUUUGCUUUACGACAAGAACAUUGGAUAAAAUAAGGGCCAUCCUUAACAAAUUAUUUUGGAGAGAUCUACUUCUCGUGUCCAUGGCAAAAAUGACUCUCCAAUAAUGACUCUUAGAAGUUAGUUGACACAAUAAAUGAUAUAAAUUCAUGAGUUUUGGACAGCUGGUAAGUAGACUGUUAAUGUCAAUAAGAGAUCGCAAGUUCGACUCCUGUACGUGACACCUUGAAAAACUCUGGUAAGAUGGUCACCCCCAAAUAAAAGUUGGACUUUAUGGAUGCUCCUUGGACCGAAUCCGGGUUAGACUCACUAAGAGUGGGGAUAUCAGGUGCUCAAAACAAAAUAAAUAAAGGGUAAAAAAUAAAUAAGCCCCCUGUGGUAAACCUAAUAUACAGAAAAACCUCCCAUGGUUUCAAAUUAUAUAACACGACCCCUCUAAAUUGUAAAGAUGACGGAAUCCGUUAAACUUAACGGAAAUAGACAAAAUGACCAAAAUGCCGUGAUAUAAUUAAGCCAAAGACAGCUCAAAAAAAUCAUUUGUUUUAUUCUCUAAAUAGAGAGAAUUGAGGGUUAAGGGGUAGAAUAGGUAUAUUUGAUAAAAAUUAGGUAUAAAUUUUUUUUUAGGUUUCAAUAAGUCAUUUCCGUUAAGUUUAACAGAUUCCGUCACCUUUACAAUUUAGCUCAAAGUAUGAGGUGCCGUAUUGUAUAUUUUGAAACCAUAGGGGGCUUUUCUGUGUAUUAGACUUACCACAGGGGGUUUUUUUGUUUUUUACCCAUAAAUAAAUGAUAUCCUCUUCUUACAUGGUUUUUGGUAGGUGGCAUACUAUUACCAAAUGGGAAAUAAAUGGAUAAGUUAAGGCCUUAUCUGAAUUACAGUUUUCUAAAGAAAAUUUUUGACGUUUUACAUAAACACAUUUAUGAAUCAUAUUUUAAUUUCACAUAUAUCAAAUUGUUGUAGCAUAUUUUUUUUGAGAAAAAAGUUUUGACGGCUCUCCAACUCUUUUUCAAGUUAAGUUUUGGCCCUUCAACAAUUAACAGUAAAGUUUUGGUUCUCGAUCUAAUAAAAGAGUAUAUUUGUGGCCCUUCUGUCAAAUCCAGAUAGUAUAGGGAUGGGCAAAAAAACCUGUUGAACCGAAAAUUCAGCGAACUCGAUGCAAUGCGAUCCGAUUUUUCUUAGCAGGGCAAAUAAGGGUCGGGUACCCGUGAAAAAUGGAUACGGAUACAGAUCAGAAAAAUAAAAACUCGUGGGUACCUGAUCCGCAGGGUAUAUUAUAUAAAUAUUAAAAAAUUAGAAAUCAUUUUAUAAUUUUAUAAUUUUUAAUCCUAAAUGUAAAUGAAGUGCCUCACAGCCUUAUAUUCUAAUAUCAUAUGAUCUGCCUCUCCUCAUAUUGUUUGAACAAAGCAAAUAUUCUCGGUGAAACCUAAAUCAAAUGAACAAAAUGAAGAAAAAUUUGUGAAAAUCUAUCAUAAAAAUUGCUCAUCCCUUUGAUUCUUUUCAUUUUUAGUCUACCUCCAUUGAUCUUUCCUGCAAAUUUUUUAUCAAUUCAAUCAAAGAUUUGUGUUUGGAGUUCUAAUUUUCUAUUAGCUAGAUGAUUAAAACAUUUGUGUCUUUCAUUUAUUUAUUUGAUUUAUUUUAUUGUAAUUAUGUCUCUUAAAUUUGUCUCUUUUAUUUUAGUGCAAGAAAGUUAUUUUUCUUUUUUAUCACCUUUAAUGCCAUAAGGUUUAUUCCAAAGAUGUAAGGAAAUUGGGAAGGAUUUUUCAAACUUGUUACUAAAAAGUGUAAAAUGAUCUCAAUUAAUUAAGCAAUGCAUCACUCAUGAUUUCAAUUUGAAGUUGAAAUUCCAAUGCAUCACUCACUAAGCAAUACAUAGUUGAAAUUUGAAGUUGGCUACAAUGAAUUACUUUCACUCAAUUAUCACACACACACAAAGAGAUAAUCAAGUAUAUGCUGGCUAUUAGAUAAAAAUUAAUUAGUUGGGCUGGCUGCCUUUGAUGACUAUCAAUAGAAGAUACACUAUCAUUGGAUACGCUCCCGCAAGCUGAAGUCAAGUCAGUCACAAUAAAAAAGAAGCCCGUCCCUAAAGUUUUAAUCAAAAUACAUUUCAUCCUUAUAGUUCUAUAGUUUUGAUCAAUUUCAUCCCUAAAAUUUCAUGUGAACAUAUUUUAUCCUCAUAGUUUCAUAAAAUUGACCAAUUGAGGACAAUUGAAUGAUUGUUAACCAAUUUGGACCAAGUAUCAUACAUAACUAGCAUGUCCCAUUGAUAAUUGUAUCAAUACUUAAUUCGAUUAUUGAUUAAAUUAUAUAAAUAACAAUGAGUGUGUUCGGAUAAAAGAUUAUUAUUUUUAAAUAUGUGAUAUAAUAUAUAUGAAAUAAAAAAAUAAAUUAGAUGAUAGACAGACAAUUUGAAAACGUGAAUAUAAUGCGACAAAACAAAAUUUUAGAAACAAAUGGCAAUCUAAACAGUUCUUUCUUUCACGUUAAUAUUUUUCUUCAUUUGAUUGCAAUGUAAUUGUUUGAAAGAUUUAUCCAAUUGGCUAUAAUGGAGUUAUUUCUUCUCCAUGACUUUAUUUCCUCUCAAUCUUUUUGUUCUAUUUGUGAUUAAGAAGAGAAUAAUGGUGGUUGAAAAUUUCUUAGUUUUUUUUAAAUAAAAAAGUGAAUUCAAAAAUAGUUUUUGAGGUUUUUUGUUGAUCCAACAUUUUCUGAAUUUUACUAACAUGCAUGUUGUGGUCAAGUGAUGAUAUUCCAUUCAAAUUGCUUGGCAAUCAAUCAAUUAUCCUUAAUUAGUCAAAUUUAUGAACUUAUGAGAAUGAAAUGUGUUUACAUGAAACGUUAAGAAUGAAAUUGGUCAAAAUUAUAAAAUUGUAAUGAUAAAAUGUGUUUUGACUGAAAUUUUGGGGACGAAAUUGCCUAACACCUCAAACAAUGAGGACGAAAAGUGCAUUUUUCCCUAAAAAUAAAAUGAACCUUCAUCCUUCCCCUUAUGUUUUUGGGCUACAGUCCUUUUUUGUUAUUACUGUGUUGAUAUUCAAGAUAACCGAACGUAUAUAGCUAGACAUGUUCCUUUUGAGGAAUCUAAGUUUUCCCCAUUCCUUGGUCCUUCUAUACUUGGUCCACCACCACGUAAAAAACAAACCAAUUCAAUCCACCUUGACUUGUUCUACCAAUUCAUGUUUUCAAAUUCAAUGGAUCCUACAUACAUUUUUAUCACAAACCGACUACUACUCUAACCCUUCUUGUCAAAGUCAAAUGAACUGACCCUAUGGUACUUCGUCACGUAACCAUCCAGAACAAAAACAAUACUACUUUAGCAAAACUUAUCUCUAAACCUUCUGUGGAGUCAUCUGAACUUAUCUCUAAAUUGAAAUAUGAAGUUAGCUGACAAUAAAUUACUUUCACUCAAUUAUUACUUAACAAAAUAAGUACAGUAUAUUGAAAAUCAAGAUGAGAAUGUGGGGUUGGGACAUCUACAUUUGCUUUCUGGUAUAGAGUCCAUUUCACCAUGUUCACAUCACCUUGGACAGUUGCCUGGAGAGUGGCUUUUACCAAAACACAGGUCUAAUUUUAAUUGAAAAAAAAAGUAAAUAUCAAAAUGGUGGAAUUAAAACAAGCAUGUAUAAGCUGGAAUCCAUCAACAAAAUUUAAAAAAAAAUGAAUAAAGAGAUUAAUUGGUUAAACUCACAUAGUAAUUUUCAAGGCCAUAAAACCAUGUUCAUCCUAGAUGGAGUCUGAUCAUUAAUCAUUUGGAGUACAAGACAGGCCAGUAUAAUUUCUUAUGUUUGGAUAGACUAGAUCUAUGUAGAUCACGUGAUUCAAAUUUUAUCAUACAAUCUCAGCAACUCAAGAAUUGAUGGUAUAGAAAAUUGUACCACAAGAUCAAGUCUAUCCAACUUUUUACCUCCUCGGUAAACUAUCAUUACUUAGUUUUAUGAGUAUCUUUUCCUUGCCAAGAAAACUAAUGAAAUGACUGAUUCUUUUUUUUUUUUUGGGUGUAAAGGCAACCACUUGAGUGAUUUCAGGAGAGACAAUGAUGACUUUAAGCUAUCAAAGUUUACUUUGCAGUAAAAAUGUAUGGCUCCAAAAAUUUUCUCACAGUCUUGUUAAAAGCUAUCAUAUAUAUGUCUGCUUUUAAUCCUACAGAUUAAUUACUGAGUAAUAGCUUUCUUGGCCCAUGACAAUAGGAACCGUCCGUCUUAGUGUCACAUAAUGCAGAUUCGUAAAACUUUAGCCCGACACCUAAGGGAGAUUCGCACUGAUAUUUCUAAGCUUAGGUAGGACCAAUAGGAGCCAAAAGAUGCCUCAGGCGCAUCAAAACUCGGUUUGGACCCCACCAAUUUACGCUAGAGCCCGUUGUGCAUUACAUCCAUGGGAGUUCGCCUUCCCCACCACAAUUUACAAGGACAGGACAGGAGCACCAAAAUUGGUCUUGUGUUUCGGCCCCAUCUCUCUACAGUAGAGUAGAAAGUCUUGUACGUGUAUCCAUGGGCCUGGUCCCGGGCCUUCCCUUCCCCACCACUAAUUAUACGAGAUUGGACAGCGACCACCGUAUAAAAUUUUUGUCCAUUGCUGAUUUUGGAGUUUCUGAAUAAAAAUGUAUUAUUAUAGUGAUUGGAUGCAUGCAAAAAGAUGGUUAGAAAAUUUGUUUACGGAAAAAAUAUAAUCUUUUUUUUUGGAAAAAUUACUUUUCAAAUGAUGCCUAGAGUCGGGUACAAACUACCCUCAAGGCAUACAAACUACCAAUCACAACUAUUAGAUUUAAGCCAUGCUUUUAUCUAUUGUCUGAGAGUAGUAAUUCUUAGGCCCUGUUUGGAAUCAAGUUUUUUGGCCAAGUUUUUUAGCUACUAGUUUUUUAACAACUUUAGCUACAGGAACCCAAAAAAACUUAUCAAAUUUUUUAACCUACACACUUUAAAAUAUCUAAUACACAAAAAACUUUCCAUUUUCUUCUUCUUUCUCCCCCACCCCUAUCCACCACACCUCCGCUGCCGGCCACCACCACCUCCACCGCUGUUUCCGGCGCCGGCCUACCCCUUUUUUUUCCUUCUCCCUCUCCCUCUCCCGGCCUCUCCCCCUCCCCCUCUCUUUCCCUCCCCUCCCCUCCCUGGCCACCCUCCCGCUUCCUCUCUGGUCGCACGCUACCACGAAAGACCGAAUUGGGCAAAAGGCUUCCGCUUCCUCUCUGGUCGCACGCUAUGCGAUCUGGUCGAACGAUCGAAUUGGGCAAAAAGGGAGGGGGGAAGGGGAGGGGAGGAGAGGGGGAGAGGGAGAUGGAGGAGAGGGGGAGAGAAAAAGCAAAAAAAAAAAUUGUAUUCUGCCAUGGCUGCUGGUUCUCCGCUUCGGGAGGGAGAGGGGGAUGGUGAAGGGGAGUAGAGGGGGAUAGGGGAGUAGAGGGGGAUAGGGGAGCAGAGAAGGAGAAGAGGGGAAGAAAAAAUGAAAAAAAAAAAUUGGGGAGAGGGGCUGUUGGUCGUCUGGUACCGCGAGGGAAGAGGGAGGGGGAAGGAAGGAAGAAGAAGAAGAAGAGGAGAGGAGAGAAAAGAAAAAGGAAAGAAAGAAAGAAAAAGAAAAAGAGAGAGAAAAAGAAAGAAAAGAAAAAAAAUGGAAGGGCCAUGGCUGCUGGGACUGAGAAGGCAGAGGUAACGGGGGAGGGAAGGGGGAGGGAGAAGGAAGAAGAAGAAGAAGAGAAAAAAGAAAAGAAAAAGGAAAGAAAGAAAAAGAAAGAGAAAGAGAAAGAAAAAAAAAGGAAAAAAAGUUUUUCGCUUUAAAAAAAUUUCUACAAAAAAGUUUUUCACCUUACAAAAACUUCUACAAUUUUUUCAAAAACUUCUACAGUGCACUACAGUAAAGUUUUAGACAAACUCCUAAAAAACUUAGGUUCCAAACAGGCCCUUAAUUUCAGCAUUAGUAGCAAAUGUAAAAACGAUUCCGCAGGUUAUACUUUGUGUGUUUGAAACACUUCUCUCUAAAACUCUUUCUCUCUCCCUUUUCUCUCUAAAACUCUUCCAAUCAAGAUCUUCUUCAUCUCUUUCACGGGAAAGAGAUCAAAUCUGAUUUUUUACCUCUGGGAGGAAGUACUCUUUAUACUUUUUAGUUUCUCUUGUUUAAAUAAAGGGAGAAUUGUAAUUUCAUCCAAUUUUGUAACGGAAUCCUAAUUGCGUGCAAUCACUUGCCUAGAUGUAGGAGCAUUUUAAAAUUUUUUUAACUCACAAAAUGCCGAUGACUUCCCUUUGGGAUUUCACUCCAAUUAUCCGAAAAUAAAAAAUAACCUGGGUUACACAAAGUCACAAACUUUCGUCGAUAUCCAUCUAAAGACUUUCGCCUCCGUCCUCUGCAGUUUGCUCACAUCCUUUCCAGGAAUCCCCUCUCUCUUCUCUCUGUCCUUUCCUUUUUCUUUUGUUUUCCCUUUCUAAAAGGACUCAAACUUCCUUUGCUCCGGUAAAUCCAUACAUGCUUUACCUUUUUCCCAGUUUUCCUUUUAUAGUCUUGGAUCUGCUUAGCUUUUCUGUUCCUUUUGUUUUUGAUACAAAUAUUGAGGCAAAUAAUAAGAGAAGCAAAAGACAAAUGUUUAUUGCUUUGUAAAACUCACACAACUUAUAACAUGAAAUUACUCUAUUUAUAGAGUUUAAAUCAACUCCACUAACUAUACCACUAACUCCACUCACUCCACUAGCAACUCCACUAGGUACUCCACUAAUCCCACUAGUUAUUCCACUAACUCCACUAAUUAGGUAGCAUAAACAAAUAUAAUUAAUUAACAACGGCAAAUAUUUCUAACAAUUCCUCCCUUAAACUGAAAGUUUAUCAAACAUUCAGUUUAAUAUGAUUUAUUAACUGCACAGACUCCAAGCAGCUUCCUUAAUUUCUGAAACGUGGAUAACUUCAAUGGCUUGGUCAUUAUAUCAGCAAUCUGAUCUUCACUUUUGCAGUAGAGAAAAUCAAUUAUUCCAUCCCUUGUGAGCUCCCUUAGAAAAUGAAACCUCACAUCUAUGUGUUUGGUUCUUUCAUGUAGAACUGGAUUUUUAGAGAGUUUGAUGGCAGAACUGUUGUCACAAUAAAUUGUAGUAGCUCCUUCUUGCUGAAAAUGCAACUCUUCAAGAAUAUUCCUUAACCAAAUUGCUUGACAGGCACAGGCGGUUGCAGCUACAUACUCAGCUUCAGUUGUUGAUAACGUAAUAAUUGGUUGCUUUUUUGAACACCAUGAAAUAGCUGCUGAACCCAUCAUGAACACAUAUCCAGACGUACUCUUUCUAUCAUCAGAAUCGCCUGCAUAGUCACUGUCAGUGAAACCAAACAAAUCUAAUUUUCCACCAUUCUUGUAAAAUAAUCCAUACUCAAUAGUUCCCUGCAAGUAUCGAAGAAUCCUCUUAGUAGCUAGAAGAUGUGUCUCCCUUGGAUUUUCCAUGUAUCUACUAAUAAGACUUACAGCAUGUAUAAUAUCAGGCCUAGUUGCUGUCAAAUACAUCAAACUUUCCACAAUUUGCUUGUAAAGGGUGCUAUCAACCCUCUUUCUCCUGGUUCUUUGAUGAGUUUUAAACCCACUUCAACUGGCGUACUAACAGAAUUACAAUUCGACAUUUGAAAUCUAUUCAGAAUUUUUUGCACAUAUUUUCUUUGAGAGACAAAAAUUCCAUCAGCAGAUUGCACCACUUCAAUACCCAAAAAAUAAUGCAUCUUUCCAAGAUCAGACAUAUCAAAUUCGGCCAUCAUAGAUUUCUUGAAUUUCUCAAACAUGGCACUAUCAUUCCCAGUAAAAAUAAGAUCAUCAACAUAUAAGCAAACAAUCAGCAAUUCCUCGCUUUGACAGUCACUGUGAUCAUUGGAGCAUGCUAAUGGAGAACUUCUUGAGAUCCAAAGAGUAUUGACAGAUUGUUGAAUCUGGAGUAGCAGAGCCAACAGCUGGAGAAAUAUUGUUAGAGGUGCAGAAAAUGGAGUUGGAAGCAUUGAAACUGAAAGAUUUUAAAGCCAAAAAUUAUCUUUUUCAAGCUAUUGAUCAGGCCAUUUUGGAGACAAUUCUUAGCUGGCUGCACAAAAUUGUCAGUGGCCAUCAUAAUUUACCAACACAAUUCUCACAACUCACUUUUGUUUUCACUCACAAGCCUAGCUCUAGUACCACUGAUACAAAUAUUGAGGCAAAUAAUAAGAGAAGCAAAGGACAAAUGUUUAUUGCUUUGUAAAACUCACACAACUUAUAACAUGAAAUUACUCUAUUUAUAGAGUUUAAAUCAAUUCCAGUAACUCCACUAACUAUGCCAAUAACUCCACUCACUCUACUAGCAACUCCACUAACUCCUCCACUAAUCCCACUAGUUGUUCCACUAACUCUACUAAUUAGGUAGCAUAAACAAAUAUAAUUAAUUAACAACGGUAAAUAUUUCUAACAGUUUUGGGUUUGAAGCGGAUGUAGCUUGAAUAUUAUACAGGAGGGGAAGGGAUCUGAGGUAUUUUUCCAUUUUUUGAGCCCGGAAUUAGGCCUCCAUGCGUGAUAUACUGUUUAUUUAUGGCUGCAGAGAUUUGUUUGUGAGUGAAACUGAUAUUUUUGUUCAUCCUUGAAAGUUUCUGAAUCUAAUGAUGUUUCCCAAAGGCAAAGUUAUACUUGGAUUUUGAUUUUGAUUUUAAAAUUUUGUGGUAGCUUGUCUAUUUAAGGUUAUGAAAAAAGAAUGCUAAACUCAUAGUUAGCUUCAGUUUCUAGAGCAUCAGCUUCACCUGAUUGGUGUUAGCUUUUCAUCUUAACGGAAGCAGGAGUUAUGACUAUGUUUCUUGCUGUUUUCUUUUGUUACUUUUUGUGAGAGAACGCAUCUUGGAAGAUGUAUGUUUAUGUUUAGCUUUUCAUAGAACCACAAUGUGUUUGAGAAAACCAUAUCUGAUUUUGUAGCAAAUUACCAAAACUAAAAAUCCUGAAAUUUCCUUCUGGUUUGAAUCGUCAAAGUAGAUUUCUUUACUCGGGGUCAAUGAUGAAAAUUCACUCAAUUAUCACUAAUAUAUGAUUAUGACCUUUCUUGGAUAUUAUUUACUUUUCAUGUUGGUUUUGUUUGUGCAGGAGGAUUUCCUAACUGACCAUGUUCAGAAACCUGAAAUUACUGAUUAUGCUAUCAUAAUUUAAGUCAUCUUCGGGUGCAAUGGAGAGUGAUUGCCUUACGGGUUCUUUUCGGCCCUGCAUAGACAAUGAAAUCAUGCAUAAAGCUUGGAGAUUAAUUCGAUGACGCAUCCCUGUUGCUUAUCCAACUCAAUUGAGUCAAGCUGAUCUUUUACACCGAGUUCUACCCGGAUAACAUACAUGUGUAAAAUGCAUAGCAACAGUAUGUCAAAAAUUGCUUCCCGAUUUAGAGUGAGUAAAGUUAUUGGGGGCUUACAAGCUGUAAUCUUUGAUGUUUGAAUGCGCCUUUGAGUUUGACGUAUCAAACUUGGAUAUUGCGGAGUAAUGAAUUAUGUUCCCUAUUUUUAUUUUCUUUUUCCUUCGAAAGGUCAUUGAUCUUCUUGCUUCUUUUUUCUGGAUAAUCAACCAUCUGAGAGUUCUUACCUUCUAAUAAUCUCCUUAGAAAAUUUUAUUUAGUCACUUCAAUGCAAAAGACAUAUGGCCUGAUAUGCACUCGACUUAACAAUAAUGAUAUCACAGAACAAUCCAUAAGGAAAUAAUAUUGCUCAAGAAGAAACCCCGCAUGCUCUCUUUGACAAUUUUUCCUUUUUCUAAAAUUUAUUUGCAUUUCCAUCAUAUGGUGAAGGGUGUAUUUCUAAUUUUUGUUUUCGUACAUCCCAAAGCAGGAAAAGAAAUUAAAGGACUUUGCUAUAGAUAAGUUUAUUAGGAUAGAAAAGAACAGAGAUGUGAAAAAAUGAAAAGAAGAGAAAAUGAGAGGAUAGAUUUUGACUUUUUAAAUAGUUUAUGAGUGCACGCGGCACAUUCCGUUACUCAAUUGGAAGGAAUAUGUCAAUUGUCCACUUUUAUGCAAAAUUGGAUAGAUGAGGGAUCAAAUUUACUGUUUGAAAUAGAUUGAGAUCCAGUUCCGUGCAUGGGUCCGUGCAUGGGUAAUACAUUGAGGAUUACAAUUACAAUUCUCCCUUAAAUAAAUUCUCUCCUAAAAUUUUCUAAUAAGAAAUUCUUCUCUUCUAGGAUCUCCUGGUGAGAGUUUCUUUUCUCCUAAAUUAUUCUAAUAAGAGUUUUAUUCUCUUCUGAAUUUUUUCUUGUGAGAGUUUUUUAGGUUUUUAUCUUUGCUAAAUUUGAGAUUUUAUAGAUCUAAAAUCUAGUUUUCCAUAUCCGCAAUUUCUCCAUUAUUGUCAGAUCUAAAUUUCUCUUUGGAUUUGAAUCAGUUUUAAUCCAUUAUUGUUAGAUAUAAAUUUUUCUUUGGACUUGAAUCAGUUUUAAUCAGAUAUGAUUGUCAAUAGACAUGCGCUUAUAUAUUGGAAUACAGUGAUUCAUCCGGAUGGAAGAUAUAUAGAAGCAUUAAUGUUAUUUUUAUUUGUAUUAUUUUCUUAAAUCUGUUAUAUCUAUUGAUUUUAGAUCUACAUGUAUCUGUGUCAUAUUUGUUUGAUGUAUUUUCUACCAUUAGUACAGAUUUAUUUGAAUGAAAUGAUCUUUUUUAUAUAAAAAAAAUUUCAGCAUUACUAAGGUAAUUGUAUUGUGUUUAAUCAACCUGUUUAUUUGCUUUUUCGUCUUUCACAUCUACUAACAUUUAUCAUUGCAAUCAUAUUUUACUUGUAAUAACGUGUAAAACAAAACCAUCGUAGUUAGCAAUUACUCCACUUCAUAUUUUAGUCCUUUUCAUGGUUUUACCCAAUUACUCAUAGUCAACACUGGUAGAGUUAGGCAUUAAUUUUAAAAAAUGUAUCAAGUUGUAUUCCGUUUUCUCUAUUGUCCAAUAAAAUGUCCUCACUAAUUAGUUUUCUUUUUCCAAUUCACUAUUAUCUGCGUAAAUGAAAAUAAUAUUAUUCGUCGUGGAAUCACAUUUUUUUAAGUGUAUUUAUGUUCUAUCAAUAUUCAGUGACAAAUACAAAUUUACAUCCAUUUGUCUCUUCUUUCAUUGUUAAUAUUCAAUAUGCGUCGUUCAAUCUCCAAUGCGCAAAUUUGAUAAAAUUAUAUAUUAUUUUAUUUCUUAUAUUCACUGAAUUAUAAACUGCCAAAUUUCUAAUAUAUUCUCUAUGUCUUCCAAUUCAAGAAAACCAUACCAUUUCUCCGAAAUACAAAGUUAUAUAUCAAUUAACAAUGUUUAACAGACACCCCAUUUAUGCAUUUUCCCUUAAAGGCUCUUCACUUAUUACACCUUUUUUAAUCUUACACUUUACUGCAAUGGCAUGACACGUUAUGAUGUUUCAUACAAUGACCCAAUUCAUUUUUAUCAACAAGAUGUGGGCAACAACUAUGCACUCGUAACUUUUGCCUAGCAAAAUGAACAUUGUAUAAUGUAAAGGGCUAUAUUACCAUUAUAUAUAUAUAUAUAUAUAUAUAUAUAUAUAUGUGUGUGUGUGUGUGUGUGUGUGUGUGUGUGUGUGUGUAGAACUCAAAUUUUGAAUGAUUUCUAAUAGUGCCAACACCUGCAAUUAAAAUCUUAUAAAUUCUCUUAAACUCUCUUGACUCUUAUAGAUACUCUUAACAAGAUUUAUCAACUAAUGUUUUAUUUAUAACCUCCUACACUUAUCGUGUAAGAAAUCACUUACACAAAAAAUUACCAAAUAAAGUAUAAAUUCCUAAAUUACGAUAACUACUAAAAACCUGAUUCUAAAUAAAACUACUAAAUAAUUAGAUAAAAACUUGUAGUCUUGAUUCAUUUGCCAGCAAAUCAAUCAUAUAGUAUUUGUUAGCUACUAAUUUUUUCAACCCAUAUCAAGUCUUUUACGUGCCACCAAUAAUAGCUCUUUUAUCGGCAUUGACCUAUUACCCAAUUUGAACUUCAUCCCUGCAAGAAGAACGACGAUCUAAUUUGGACAACAAAGAGCUCGGGGUGCUUGGGGGGAACCAGAAGAGAUGGGACCUUAUGGCCCUGCUCGCCAACUCAGUUGUCUUAGAGUUAAUUGCAAGAAAAUCUCGUCCAAAACGUGCACAUCGUGUUUUGCUUUGCCAUGUAAUCUUCUUCUUCUUCUUCUUCUUCUUCUUCUUCUUUUUUUUUUUUUUUUGUUUUUGCUUUGCUAUCUAACCUGAUUGUUCUGACACCAGAAAUAUUUGUAAAUUUAUUUCUUGCCCAUUUGAACAAACUUGAAAAUAUAAAAAAUGACCUCUUUUAGGGUCCGUUUGGCUGGGAGUAAAAUGUUUUCCUUGGGAAAAUAUUUUCCAUGGAAGUAAUUUUUCAGGAAAAUCAUUUCCCUUUCAUCAUUUUCAGGUGUUUGGUUAGCCUAUUGAAAAUAUUUUUUUACUUCAUUUUCUGGUGUUUGUUUAACUUUUGAAAUAUUUUCCAACUUUGAAAUAUUUUCACUUUUACCUCUGUCUUUACUUUCUACACAUUAUAACCACAUACUUCUUCCCAUGCAAAAUAAAAAAAUAUUUAUCUCAUUUUUUAACUUUAAAAAAACUUAAAGAAAUGUAUAUAUGGAUAAAAAAUUUCUCCUUAAGCAAUAAACAAAUUGCUAACCAUUCAUUGUCAAAUAUCAAUCACACGAAUGCUUAUUGUGACAUAUAUCUUACAGUCUCACUGCUAAAAGUUUCUCUAGAAAAGAAUGCCCCUAUUAUACAUAAUUAAUUGCUAGAAUAAGGUGAGUAGGGUGAGGCCUUUUUUUUUAUUUUUUAUUUUGAGCAUACUAUGGGCCUGUUUGAAACCUUGAUUUUUUACCAAGUUUGUAUAAAACUAAUUUUUUAACAACUUUUGCUACAGGAAUCCCAAAAAACUUAUCAAAGUUUUUAACCUACACACUUCAAAAAUACAUAAAAAACUUUCCCUUCAACUUUUCUUCUUUUUCCUCCCCCACCCAACCCACCACGUCCUUCGUUGCCGGCCACCACCUCCACCACCGCUGCCGCCGGCUAGGGGUGGCAAUUUUCGACACGACCUGAAAACACGACACGAAUCUAACACGAAAUUAAUGGGUUUGGGUUGAGGUUUCGGGAAUUCAGGUCAGAAUCGGGUUGAACCCGAAAAGAAAACAGGUCGAUUUCGGGUCAACCCGUGGUGACCCGAUAUGACCCGUUUAUGAAUUAAAAAUAAUUUAAUAAACAUAAAAAUAAUUUUAUCUGACUAAGCUAAGUUAUUCUUUUUUUCAAACGCAUUAAUUACUUAAUCCUAAAUGAAUUUAUUUAAUUUGUGUGAAGUUGAAAUUAUUAUAUUUGAACAAAUAAUAUAUUAUAUUAUUUUUUACUUUUAUACUGUUUUAAUUUAUUUUAUAUUUUGUUUGGGAUAAAACACUUUUACGGUGUUUAAUUUAUUUUAGAUUUGGCUUGAAAUUAUUUAUUUAAAUUUUUAUUACUUGAUUAUGUAAUUAGUUUUGUGAGAAAUUAAUUUUAUUAGAAAUUACAGUGAUAAAUUAAUAAAUUAAAAUUAAAUUUCGGGUCGACCUGUCAACCUGAAAUUUUCGGGUUCGGGUCAAUAUACCUGACCCGUCACCGGUUGGCGGGUUGGGUUCGGGUCAAUAGAUUUUUUGACGGGUCGGGUCAAACCCAACCCGCCAACCUGAUUUGGACCCGAAUUGCCACCCCUACCGCCGGCGGUCACUAUUCCGACAGCUAGUUCUGGCCUUCCUCUUUUUUUUUUCUCUCUCCCUCACCCCCUCUGCUCCUCUCCCCUCCCCCUUUUGACCGAUCUAUUGGUGCUCUUUUUCUUUUUUUUUUUUUCUUUCUCUCUCCCCCCUCCCUUCUUCGCCUCUGCCUCCCCCACCACCCUCCCCUUCCCCCUUUGACCGAUCUGGUCGCUCGACCAGAUUGCAAAGGGGGAGAGGAAGGGGGUUGCGAUCUGGUCAGCUAGGGGAGGGGGAAGGUAGCGGGGGAGGGAAGGGGAGGGGUAGCGGGGGAAGGAAGGGGAAGGGGAGAGGGAGAGGGAAAAGAGGGAUGGCGGGGAAGGUAGAGAGAGGGGUGGUAGGGGAGGGAGAGGGGAAGAGAAAAAAAGCAAAAAAAAAAAAGAAAAAAGAAUCACUUGUUAGUUGCUGCCAUGGAAGUCUCGGGAGAGAGAGCAGGGGAGGGAAAGGGGAGAGAGAAGAAGUGGGGAGGGAGGAAGGAAAAGAAAAAAGAAAGAAAAAAAAAUUCAUCUUACAAACACCCAAAGUUUUUCUACGACUUCUACAGUGAUCUACAUUAAAGUUUUAUACAAACACCCAAAAAACUCACCUUUUAAAUAGUCCCGAUCUUUGAAAGUUUGACAGAUACCUUUGUAGACACCAAAAUUUUAAUAAUCCCUUCUUAUUAUUUAUUUCAUUUUUAUUUUUACCUUUUUAUUCUCAUUUUUAAGGAAAUUUUAUUUAUUUGUUUGGUUAUGCAGGAAAAGAAAGAGAAGGCAGAAAAGAAAAGAAAAAAUAAAAAAAAAGGGAGGAUGCCUCACGCGCGCGUGCGCAUCAUCUUCCUGGUUUCGUACAGAAGCCAGGAACAAGUCUCAGGAAUUGCAGCCGGCCAUUUGAUCCAUUUCCACUCGUUUCUAUUGCAUUUUUUUCCCUCCAAGCCCUUCGGUACAAUGCCAACUCAUCCUAGUUGGAAUCUAUCAAGAAAUAUCCAGAUCAAAAGCCACCCGAUGGCUUCAAAAAUGCCACAAAAAAAAACCCAUUUCAUCUGCACCAUUGAAGCAAGGGUUUGGGAGGUGUUUUGUGCCUAUAAAAGGCUCAUAAACGCAGCCCUAAAGAAAGAGAACAAGGGAUAGGUGGCUGAAGGAAGAAAAAAACAGAAAAGAUAGAGAAACCAGAGAGAAGAAAGGAAAGAAAAUUUUCUGGAAAAUUCGAUACCGGGUUGAUCGAGCAGCCAUCUUUGGAUGUCAUUUUCUCUUUCUUUUUAGUUAUUUUUUCAUAUUAAUACUCUAUGGAGGUAGAUAAAGAAUUUUCGUGUUGAAGGUCUCUGGAGAAAACAACUUUAAAGCCAUGAAAUCCGACGCCAAAGUUGGAAGAAAACCAGCCCUGGUUCCGUCGUAAUUUUGUUGAAAAUUUUUCAAUCCGCUUCCACUAGCAUUUUCCGGGUUCCAGUUUGUUUCUAGAGCUUCACAAGGUAUUUUUAUAACCUCUAUUAGUUUGAUUCGACACUAAACUAAGAUAUUUGCACGAGUUUAUGGGAUUUUGCAUUUUUGUUGAUUUUUGGUUGAGAUUCCUUAUGUCUUGGAAAGCUGUUCUUUUGAUGGUUUAAAAAUUAGCUAAAAAAUAGCGUAGAAGAUGACUUGAUGUUUGCUUUUGAUAGAGUGGCCGAAUAACUUGUAGUUUUUGGUGUUUCCAUGGUUGGUUCCGUCGAAGUCAGUUUCAUGGCUUCUUUCUUGCAUUAUUAUCAUAUUUGCGCCUAUUUGAUCUUCAAAAAGGCUUUGUAUCGGAGUUUUUGGUUGUGUUAAUGAGUGGUAUAUUCUGUUGGAUUUUAGUUCACAAAUCAAUGGUUUUGUUUGAGCUCAUGCAUGAUUUUCCACGUAUAAAGCUGAUACUUUGCGAAGAAAAGUUGCAGAAGAUGAAAUGAAGAAGAAAGCCUCGGUUCUGAUUUGCAUGAAACUUUUAAAAACUACAUUUCGACCCCUAAAUUUUCACCUAAUUUCACUAUGACCUAAAAACUUCUACAAAUGAACCAUCUUGACCCCUUUUAAAUUUUAAUCAUCUUUUACAUAUUUUAAACAUGUUUGUGGGCGAAAUAAUUCUGGGUUUUAAGACAUUAUUAGGAUUAAAUAAUUUUUUUAGUUGAUUUAUUAUCCUAUUAGGUUUUGGUAAAAUAAGUGUGGUUUUGGGUUAAGGGUUAUUGUUUGGGUUUUGGUUAUGAAUUUUAGUUAUUUUGAUUGGGUUUUUUUUCGUUUGGGUUUCUUCGAGCAAAACUAUGGGUUGGCUUGUGUAUUCUGCCUCGGACUUUCGCUGGGCUUGGGGAGGUUUCAGCCCAACUAAAGCAAAAGAAAAUGAAAGAUAGCCCAAUGGCCCAAUUCCUUAAGAAACACUGAGAAUUGCAAUAUGGUCCCUGUACUCUUGUAUAAUUUUGUUUUGGCCCUAAAAACUUUAGUAUUCUUUUAAUUAGGUCUUUAAUUUAAUUGUGCUUUGGUACCUAAAUUUUUUUCUUUCAUUUUGACCUCUAUUUUUUGUAAUAAUUGAAUUUAACCCCAAAAAUUUCUUAAUUUUUGUAAUUAGGUCCCUAAUAGUUUUGAUUUCUUAAAUAUAAUUUACUUUUCUUCUUUAAUUAUAGAUUAUACUUCAUUUAAAUACUUUGAUUGGUAGAUUUCAUGAUAAUUUCCAUUUAUUUAUAAUUAAAUUAGUGUCUUAAUCAUUUUGUUCGUUUUGGAGUAUAAGUAGGGCAAAUUUCACCCUAUUUAAUCACCACUUCACGAGAGGUAACCUCUUUUAUUAUUUUAAACUCUUUCAUGUGCUCCAAUGUGUUUUUAUGUGUAAUUGCAGGUUUUGAAUGUUUUUUCUUUUAAUUAGUCAUUCUUAUUCAUUUUUAAGUUUUAUUUGUUUUAUUUAAUUUUGAUGAUUAUCUGAGAGGCAUUAAAAUGCCAAGUUGUAACAGAUAGGUGCUCAAGACAUGUAUUUUGCUAGUUUAUGCAAUAGAUAGGUUCUAAUUUUUGUUUAAAAUGUAUUUAGUUAGAUGAAUAUAAUAAUUAGGUUAUUUUUUUUUUGAAUUCCCCUUUAGAUUGUAGUUAGGGUCCGAAUGUAAUAGUUAGGCUUUUAUUUGCAUUUAUUUGUUUGGGUGCUUGCAUGCUUGUGUGUUUAUGUGUUUACUCAUUUUCAUUUGGGUUUUGUAUCUAGAAAUUAUGAUUAUGUGUUAUGUGCUCUAUGUGCAUUAUGUGUUUAUUUGUUUUAAUUAUGCUUUAUAUGAUUUAUUUAAUUAUAAUAAAUGCAUGACGUCACCACAUCAGUCCAACGCUAAUUGUGACCUUCCUUCGCGAUUUCUCACUAGUCCCACGCUAGUGAGAACUUAUAGACAUGGGUUAGUUAUUUAGUCCAAUGCGAGACUCUUAGGGACCGUCCACGCACUAUAUCAUGUUUUUGUGACAAUCACUACAUUUCAUGCAUAUUUUCUACUUUUUAGAAUCCCUACCAUUUGGCAUGAUAUUUCCUCUAUAUGUAUAUUCCUUAUCCCUAUGUGCGAAAUAGAACAUUUAGACUUGCGUUUCAUUUAAGAAACUUAGAAAUAUGUGAGAUCAUUUGCUUGAUUAGAUUAGGAGAGCACCCCUUCAAAUAUGGGAAAUGAACAAGUAUAGCUACUUAGUCUUAGCACGCUCGUGUCUCCUCUAUAAGAAAAAAAAUUGAGUUACAAAUCUUAGUCCCCCGUACUCAUUAUCAUGCAUUCCUUUAGCUCAUGUAUAUUUGUAUAUUAUUAUUUUUCUUUCUUUUCUUCGAGUCUCAUCUUUUGCAUAUUCGUAACCUUUUCAAAGAGUCACUCUUGGGCGUCUCAAUUAAUGCGCUUUGCGCCAAUUAAAUUUUGAAGAGAUAUUUCGACCAUCCCGAUAUCCAUUAGGUCUAGAUUUGCAUAGAUAUAGUAACAUAUAAAUGUGAUAAGUUUUAUAGGUUAAAUUAAAAAAUUUUUAACUAAAUCACACAACUAACCUUGACUAGAUUGAAAGGGUGUCAUAGAUCAAAUCUUUGUCUUCUCUUUCUUCAAUCGUGACUCCUGAACUUUUUUCUUUUGUUUUCAAAGACGUGGAGUCGUUUAAAGAGGGUUUUACCUAUUUUUUUAUUAAAAAAAUAUUUUUGGGUGAUUUGGUACACCUUAACUCAAUAUCAAGUGACGACUCCUAUUUUUUUAAACUAUUAUUUUGGGCCAAAAUCGUCGCACUUUUAAAGUCCCAUGUUAGGCUCUUUUUCUGCAUUUAUUCUCUAAAAAUCAAAAACUCAUUUUUACUCAAAAUUAAUCAAAAAUUCAUUUUUUAUAACACGUAAUUUUAUUUUUCAAAAAAAUGGGGCACGACAACCUUUAUCAGGCGGGACACAUACGUUUAGAAAAACAACUUUAGUAAGUUUGGAAGCGAAGUUGUUUUUUAUAAGAUGAGUGAAAAUCUUUUACACAGUAAAAUAUUUUCAGUAAUUUUGUGCAACCAAACAUGGGAAAUUAGGAAAUUAUUUUUCUCGAAAAGAUUUUCAACCGAACACAAACAGACCCUUAAUGCAGUAUCAAUUACUUCUGGAAAGCAACUUUGCUAUAUAAUGCAACCACCGAUACCCCAAGCACUAUUUAUUUGACCAAAUAACAAUCUUUUUUCUACACAUGCUUCAUGUCAUGGAAAAGUCUGCAAUAACGAUCGUUAUGAUAACGAAACUGUUUUUACCUGAUAUAACAGGUAGAAACAAUUUUAGUGACCAUUUGAUUACCUAUUGGACUGGUCACCUAAAUAAGAUAGUACCUAAAAAUUUGAUUAGUAAGUUUUACAUAAAAAAUAGUAAGUUAACUCGAUAAAUUAGUAACUUUUAUGUCUCAACAAGUAAAUUGGAAUAAAUAUGGAACUUACUUUUUUUUUAAAAUAAAUUACUACUCGAUAUCCAAAACUUACUUUUUGGAGAGUAAGUUUAGUUCAAGUAAUACUAAGUUUUUAUAGAUUAAUAGUAAAUAUUGUUGAUAGAAUAGUAAAUUUAGUUAGUGGUCAAAACCUACUAGUUUGUGGUAUAAAUUUACUAUUUUACUUAAAAAACUUAUAUGAAACAAGUAUUAGGAAGUUCAUUUGAAGUAAUGCUAAAAUUUUUUAUUAAUGAUUAAAACUUAGUAUUAUAGUUAGUAAUUACUCAUAAUGUAAAUAUAUGAUACACAAUUGUACGUAACAUUUAUAAAUGUUAUAUUGUUUAAGCAUUUUAACUAUACUAUGAAAACUAUUUUUUUUUGCACAUGACCUUUAAAAUAUGUAAGAAUAAUUUGUCAUAUUAUAAAUUUUGAAUUAUUUUUGAAUUUGUGAAAGGUUAGAAAGUUUGGAUGACAAUAACAACAAAUCUUUCAAGUUAUAUAUAGAAUUGCACUUAUCUAUACAUCACAAUUUUCAUAUAUUAAUACCUAUGAAUAUAAUAAAAUGGUAAAGUUUUAAUAAAUUUAUUUACUGGGUCACAAGUAUAAAAGUUAAAGUUGUAUUAUAAUAACAACAAAUCUUUCGAGUUGCAUAUAAAAUAGCACUUACUUAUACAACACAAUUUUCAUAUAUUAAUGCCUAUGAAUUUAAUAAAAUGGUAAGAUUUUAAUAAAUUUAUUUUCUGGGUCACAAGUAUAAUAAUUAAUGUUGUGUUAACAUAGCAUAAUUUUUGAAAAUUAUAAUAAAAUUACCCAUAUGUUAAGUUUUGUGACUUUCAAACAUACUUUGUAUCAUUUACAUUAUGGAUUUGUAUCCAUAUUUUUCUAUCAAACUCUUUUUCAUUGGCAAAUGGUAUAUAAAUUAUUAUAAAAUGUCAUUUUAUAAUAAUCAUAAUUUUUUAUAGAUGAAUGUUAUGCAAACUGUUAAAAUUAUCAAUUCACAAAUGGCUAAAUCUUACUACUUAUGGCAUAUAUUAGUCUAAUUGACUAAAAAAAUACUGUAAUCAUGUAUACGUUGAUUGUUGAAUUGAAAUUUCGUUUAUUACUAGUACAAGUUCUUCUAAUCAAAGCAAAAUAAAAUCAAAUAUCUUUCCCUUUUGUAUGUAGUAGUUAUGUUUAGUAGAAAAUUAUUAAACCAUUUUUACAAUACAUAAUUUCUCCUAAAAUUAGUAAUAUUUUCCAUGACCUCUAACCUUAUCAAUAAUACUAACGACCGACAUGUAGAUAAUCUUAAAAGCAAAAGCCAUCAUUAUGACAAAAAAAGAAUAUUUUCAUGCUGAAUAAACAAAAUUGUAAUUCUAUAUAGAAUCGAAGAAAUUCAUCAUGAAUGAAAAUGAAUUGCAAAGUUAUUACAUUUCUAAUUUCAUAUGUAUCUAGAAUUUCACGCAGCAUUACUUUAGAGGAACUUUCCUUUUUCACACUAAGGAACCAAUCUCAAUCUCUUCGUCUCUUUUAUUUUUUCUUUAACCAUUAAAAUACUAAAUAAAUUUAAUUCCAUUUCAAGCUCUAGUUAAUUGUAUACUAAUAUUUUACACAACAAUCAAUUGAGCACCAAUUUCCUUUUUUUAAGUAGCUAUUAUUUAUUUUAUUACUUUGGUUAAAUAUUUACAUAUAAAAUAAUAACAAUAGAAUGCCAAUCCUCGGAUCAAUGAAACUUCAAUUAUUGUUAAUAAAAAUAAUUUUACAUUGAUAAAAAUUAGUCUACAGAAUGAAAAGUCAAUGGCAACAAUUGCUAAAAUAUAGCAAUUUUUAAUUGUGGGAAAAUAAACAACUAAGUUCCCAAAAUAUUUCACUUUUAUUGUUUAAAAAAUCUCAACUUGUUAACUAAAUUCAAAAUAAUUCUAUUGUCAAAAAUAUUUCUCCUCAAAUUAACUUUAAUGAUUAGAGAUGAGAUACAAAUAUGGCAAAAUAUCGCUCAUACGUGUGUCAUGGAUAUUUGAGACUUUUAGUAAAAAACUUUUUGUUGUUAAAAUAACAUUGUAUCAUAGUGUACUAAUUAUUUUAGAACCAUUUUUAUACGUGAACUAAAUUUAAUUUAAAUUAUACAAUAUAUUAUAUAUGCAUGUGAUUUUCAUUUAUAAUUGUUGGAUCCUAUUUUUUAUGAACAAUCUCCCAAGGAAAAAAGUUCAGAUCAUACUGAUUUUCUUAUAUUAAUUGUUAUACUAAUUUUGUCAUUUUUAUUGUUAUAUUAUUUCUCAUUUUGUUUGGGCUUUAGCUCUUAUUAUUUCUUGUGUCCCAGGUCUAAAUUCAUUAAAACUUUAUCAUCUUAUUAUAUUCAUAAGUGUUAAAUUAUAAAAAUUGUGAUAUAUAAAUAAGUGAUAUUCUAUAUAUAACUAGGAAGAUUUGUUAUUAUUGUUAUUCAAACUUUUCAGAAAUUGAAAAUGAUUAAAAACUUAUAAUACGACAAAAUUUUAUUACAUAUUUUACGAGACUAUGUGAAAAGUCAAAUUAUUUUUCAUAGUAUUUUAAAAUAUAUAAAUUCAAAAUUUUUUUAAAUUAUACUUAUAAUCAUGUAUUAUACAGGUAUAUUACGAGUACUUACUAACUAAGGUAAUAUGUAUUAAUCAUUAAUAAAACAUCUUAUCGUUAUUUCAAAUAAAUUUCCUAAUACUAGUUUGAAAUAUGUUUUAAAGUAAAAUAGUACAUGUGUCCCAUAAUCAAUAAGUUUUGAUUAUUAAUCAAAUUUACCAUAUUAUCAGUAAGAAUUACUAUUUAUGUAUAAAAACUUACUAUUACUUGAAUUAAACUUACUCUCUAAAAAGUAAGUUUGGGAUAUAAAGUAGUAAUUUAUUUAUUUAAAAAGUAAGUUUAAUAUUUAUUCAAAUUUACUUUUUGAAGUAUAAAAGUUACUAAUUUAUUACUGUUAACUUACUAUUUUAGAUGAAAAACUUACUUUCUUAUUUUUAAGUGUUAUUCUAUUUAGAUGGAUAGAUCCAUCAAGUAAUCAAAUGGUCGCUAAAAGUGCAACAACCUGUUAUAUCAGGUAAAAAAUUAUUUCGUUACCAUAAUUAUCGUUACUAAAACAUUGUACUCGUGUCAUAAUCAUCGAGCUUUACAUGAAUUGUUCAUCAAAAUUGGUCUCCCAACUUUGAUCUUAUCAUCUCAUUCUACCAUUUAAUGCGACAGCGAAGAAAGUGAAACUAUACCAUAAAUCUGCCCGAAUACCAUCAAAUAAAUAGCCUACAUGAAUGUGUUAUGUACUAUAAUCUUUUUCCUACUGCAGCUUGAUGAAAAUGGGAAAUAGUUUUACCCUUCAACUCGUAUAGACACUGAACAUACACAAUUUUUUUUUUUUUACUGCAGUUUCUACAUUGAUCUCCUUUUUCUAAUAUUAAGUAACACGAUGAAUUAAUCUCUUAAACUUCCAAAUUGCGGUAAUUACAGACAGAUGUUUGCCAACUUACAACUACAGCUUUGCCAAAUUUCUCAAGACAAAGAAAAAUAUUUUUAAGUAGGCAUCUAUGUGCAAUGUAGGUAUGAAACCAGAGAAUUCUAGUAGGGUUAAUUAGAAAAAUCCAGAACUAUUCAGGCGAUUCAUAGAAUUAUACUUAUUAAAACAUGUCCUAAUAAUUAUAGUGGAAGCAAUUUAAAAAAAAUUAAUGUUGGGAACAAAUUAAGCUAAAUAAAAUAAUCAUUAUCUUUGUCAUACCUAACAAUUUCAUUCAAAAAUAAUUAUUGUCUUUUUCAUACUUAACAAUUUCAAGCUAAUUAAAUCACAGGUGUUUUUCUAAAGAAAAAAAGAUAGCAAGACAAAAUUGUAUAGUUUAGCUUAUUAAACAUCCGGUUUUAGAUAUUUAUCAAACAUUAUAGAUAGAUUUAUUAUUAAGAUUCAGAUAUUCAUAUAUUUCUUUUUAUUAGUUAAAAUUUAGCAAAUUAAUUGUUUCAAUAUUCAGUUUCAGAAUUCAGAUUCAAUUUUAUCAAAUAGGACCUUAGUGUGAACUCUUAAUUGUAAUUGAAUUUGAUAUUUUAAAAUUGACAUUUAAUACAAACUUUUAUGUUUAACUAAAUUUGAUUUUUUCAAAGCCACAAUUAAUACAAAAUCUCAAAUUUAACUAAAUUUGAUUUCUUGUCAAUCACAUUUAGUACAAGACAAAGACAAAGAAACGGUAAAAUGGGAUUUAUAUUACUUACUCGAAAUGAACUUUUUUUGUUUUAAGAAAAAUACAAAGAAAUUAAUGUUAAAAGAUUAACUCCUUUUCAUAAAUUUUUGUCAAAAAGUACAUAGGGAAAUGGAUGGAUUGGGUGAUUCGAAGAAGGACGUGUAAGUGAGAGAUUUUGGUUUUAAGCUUCCCACUUACGCUAUUAAAAUAUAUAAAUUCAAAGUGUAUGUAAUUAGACUAAUUUUUGGGGAUUAUUUAUUCUAACAUGGUCGACAUUAUUGAUGAAAUAUGGCAUCAGCAGAACCUAACACUUUGGAAUUCAUCUGUCCCAGAAUUUCAAAUGGUAACAUUUUUCCUUAAAAUUGGAAUAUUUAUUUUAGGGAGGUAAGAGCAUCCGGUGGAAUUGAAAUAUGAAUUUAGCUAACGGGUGUGCAAUUGGCCCACGUUGAAAUAUCAGCUUGGCUAACCGGUGUUCUAAUGGCCUUCACUAAGUGGGGCGUUAGGCAUUAAUUUUUGAAAAAAUGUAAUUAAUUUGAAAAAUUAUAUAAAUUCAGGGGAUAUAAUAAUUGUGAUUGUGUGAAUUUAUAUGGUAAGUUAGAUGUAAUUUAGGUACAUUAACAAAUAUCCACCUAGAUGGGAACCUUCACAAAAAUCCCAAGGCAUUGUUGUUUUGAGAGAAGGGCAGGGAAAGGAAAGCAAACGGAAAUGGAGGGAUAAAGUUUUUAAAUUUUGGAUUAGUUUUUGAGGAGAGAAAGAAAAGGAUUUGGAGGGAAAGGGAGGGAUAAAAUUAGUUAUUUUUUAUCAACCUGUUUCAUGUCCAAAUGUGGGCAAAACAAAGGGAAACGACACCAAAUUAAUGAAAAUUUCAAAAUGUUCUAAAAACCUAUCAUGUAUUUAUAAAUUAAAUUUUAAAUUAUGGAAAAAAAUAUAAUUGAUGCAUGAUAGUUUUCUUUCCUUUCCUCUCGUAAUCCAAACAAAAUAGACAGACUUAGAUUUCUUCUACUCCCCUUUCUUUUCUUUUCCACUAGAGUCUUCUCCUUUCCUUUCCUUUCUUUCAAUCCAAACGGUGCCUAAAAGAAAAUACAAGAUGGUGCGACUAAAAGUUCAUACCAUUCCUAUGGACUGUCAAUUGCAUCAAAACACGAACUUUGUCUAUAUAAUGUGCACACUUUGUGACUGAUUUCUGUCGAGUGCUUAGCCCAUGAUUGUUAGUGUUGCUUGUUGGAUAGUUUACUCUCAGUAAAAUACUUUGAGAUUUUAGGCCAUAGUAUAUACUUAUGGCUUAUAAGGUGCAUUACUAAGACAAAAAAUACCAAUCAGCAACAACGGUAAUAUUGGGUUUAAAUGAUACAAUACACUAGGAUAAUGUGCAUUUUACCGACUUCAUGAAUGUGAAGAACUAAAUAUUAUGUAUUAAUUAUUUGUUUUUUUUUCCGGAUAUAUUUGGCUUCAAUUAGCGCUCAAACUCGAGAUCUCACAAGUAGACAAAGAAACCAUAUUUUUUAGGUAUGGUUUCUCUUUAUUGCUAGAGUUGGUAUCAAAUGUACUUAGGAGACUGAGAUACCUUAAACAACCUUAAGCCAGGGCUAUGAGCUAUAAAACAAGAAGAGGAUGAACUACUAGAAGAAGAAUAUGGGCAUAGUAGGGCUGUCAAAUAAAUUGAGUUGCUCGCAAAUAGUUUGAGUCAAAACUCGAUUCAAGUUAGGUCAACAUCGAACUCGAAUCGAGUUCGAGUUAACUGAGUUGAACUUGAGAUCAAAGAUACUUAACUCGUUAGUUCGCAAAUCGACUCGAUUUUAUAUAUUUAUAUUUAUAUUUUUUAUUUUAAUAGUAAAAUUACAUAUAUCCUUAAUAUUUUAUUAUUUGUUAAGAAACAUUACUAUUUUAUUCAUUUUUAAAAAUAUAAAAUAAUUAUUUUUUAUUUUUUUAAACUCAAGCUUGAGCCCUACAAUAAGAACUCGUUGAUUUUGAGUAGGGGUGGCAAUUCGGGUCCAAAUCAGGUUGGCGGGUCGGGUUCGGGUCAACCCGCCAGAAAAUCUGUUGACCCGAACCCGACCCGCCAAACCGUAACGGGUCAGGUAUGCUGACCCGAACCCGAAAAUUUCAGGUUGACGGGUUGACCCGAAAUGACCCGAAACUUAAUUUUAAUUUAUUAAUUUAUCACUGUAAUUUCUAAUAAAAUCAAUUUCUCACAAAACUAAUUACAUAAUCAAGUAAUAAAAAUUUAAAUAAGUAAUUUCAAACCAAAUCUAAAAUAAAUUAAACACCGUAAAAGUGUUUUAUCCCAAACAAAAUAUAAAAUAAAUUAAAACAGUAUAAAAGUAAAAAAUAAUAUAAUAUAUUAUUUGUCCAAAUAUAAUAAUUUCAACUUCACACAAAUUAAAUAAAGUCAUUUAUGAUUAAGUAAUUAAUGCCUUUGAAAAAAAGAAUAACUUAGGUUAGUUAGAUAAAAUUAUAUUUAUAUUUAUUAAAUUAUUUUUAAUUUGUAAACGGGUCAUAUCGGGUCAUAUCGGGUCACCACGGGUUGACCCGAAAUCGACCUGUUUUCUUUUCGGAUUCAUCGGGUCCAACCCGAUUCUGACCCGAAUUCCCAAAACCUCAACCCAAACCCAUUAAUUUCGUGUUAGGUUCGUGUCGUGUUUUCAGGUCGUGUCGAAAAUUGCCACCCCUAAUUUUGAGUUUGAUAAAAUUAAAUCAAAACUCAACUCAAUUAAACAAAAAUUUGACUUGACUCAACUCGUUUACAAACCUAGAUAUAGAGUUACAAUAGUGACAGGUUGUCGAUGCCUGUGCAAUAAUAAAACCUGCUCAAACUAAAAGUAAUUUCUGUAGAUAACGGUAAGCAGGGUCGAAUCCACAGGGACUGGGAGUAAUUGUUCCUUUUCAAAUUCACAGUGACAAAGGGGAGUGUUUUUAUAUCAGGGGUGACAACUCAACUAAAAGUAAAAUAAUAAAAAUAAAAUAGCCAACUAGAAAUUAAAAAAACACAAUUUACUAAAAUCAAAGGAUCUAGCCAAGGAAUAACUUCAGCAAUGGUUCACCUAAUUGAUCAUUGAUAAGCAAAGGCAAUUCCAAUUAUUUACUAAUAAAUAGGUUAUAACUGCCAAACAAGCGAUGGCAGUCAGCCCCUCCUUACUGUGUCGGUGAUCAAGGUACGCUCGUUAAUCACUUCUUUAAUUGGAAGAACAAUCCUAGGUACGCCCAUAAGAUUUAAUUUCCCAAUUGCCUUACGUAUUAGAGGAGCCCUAUUCUAAUCAAAUAACGCACUACCAGGGUUAUUUCAGAUUAGCCCGCGUAUCCCCCUGACACGAAUCUAAUCGUGCCAGUUGUCACUAUUUCAAGACAAUUAAACAAUUACGAAUUUAAUGUCCUAAUUGACAGUAGAUUAUCCAAUCAAUUAACCAUCCGGAUCCAAGACAAUCAACUAAUUAAAUGACCAUAAGCAUAGCAAUCAAGGAAUAUGCGAAUACUAAUAAAUAAAAGAAAAAAAUUAAAUUAAAUCGAUCUUACAAUUUGUAGGCGAGCCAGAGCCUUCGUUAUUUCUUGACUAGAAUGAGGAAAUUAGUUCAUAUUUGAUGAACUGAGUCCACACAACAUUGAAGAGAAGCCAGCGGCCAUGGUCCGUUGAAAUUUAGCAGAAUCCAACUCGUCUCAAUAUAUUGAAUGAAUAGAAAAGCUACAAAAGUUCAUAGUUUUCACUCCGUCUGGCGCACAACAAUGAAGAAAAGACUACUAAAAGCAACUAAGGAAGAAAAGUCCAAGCCAUGAAUGGCUAAACUCCUGACAUUCGUAAGUCCCAAGAGCUACUAAGAAGCCAAAGAAAAGUCAAAGGCAGCAAGUCUUCAUUGUUCCUGCCAUGCGUUUCCGUUCUUUGGUCAAAAGUCUAAAAAGGAAGAAGAAAUCUAAUUCUAAGCUAGAAGCUGCUGCCCCUUCUUCUGCACCAUUUUCUCUUAUAUCCUCCUGUUCCGUGCGGCGGCUCCAGGGAGAAGAACACUUUUGGCACAAUGACCGAAAAGGGCUCAUGUCCCUACUUCCCAAAAAUGCCCUUUCGAGCCUUCUAUUUAAUUAAUUUCCCGAUGAUUGUCAAAUUGGCCUUAAUUGUAGUAUUUUCAUUCUACUCCCUGAAAUAAAUGUAAAUUACGAAAAGUGAGUAGAAUCCAAUAAUUAAUUCACAUCGGGUCAGGUAAUAGAAAAAAUUAAUAAUAAAAUAAAUGAUAAAAUUGCACCCUAUCAAAUAGCUCUAUGAAUUACCGUAAGACAUAGAGAAUAGAGAGAUUGGUACAUAUCCUCUUAAUAGUUAAUUCCCCUCGAGGCAACUCUGGUAUGAUUGAGCUAAAGCUCAUUGUGCCUAGCAAAGGGGGUGUAAGUACAAUGUUUUACUCUUUUUUCCCCUUUUUUUUUUUCUUUUCUUCAAAAGAGGAUUAAUACUGGUUCAAUUUACAUGGGUUCAAAUACAAUGUUUUACUUGUUCAAAUGGUUCUGCAAAAUUUAUUUUUCAAAACCAAUUAUGGCAAUCCAAGCUUUACUAGUUUUGGGCCCUAGAUUCAUUUUUCUCAGUUACGUAGACCACUGAACAGAACUCUUUUUUUUUCCCUAUUAUUUCAUUUUUCUUUUGUGUGAAAUUUUGACCACGAAAUAUAACUAGAAGCAUCUGGACCUGUCCAUAUUAAACACAUCUAUAGGAUGGAUUACUGAAUAAAAACGAGCUUACGUAUUUUGCUAAUGUGCCUUCUCUACAAAGUGGCACAAUUCAAAGGAAUUCUUACGCAGGUAGACAAACUAAAUUAAAAAAGAAAAAUUGAAAAGGGAGAUAUACCACCUUUUUAUUAAUUUUUUUAAUUUGGUAAGUCUUUUCUUUUUGAAAGGUUAGUUUGGUAAAUCAACUCAAGUAAUGAAGUAACAAAAGUAUAAGCUUUAGGGGUUAUAUAUUGAAAUCAGCAAAUUUACUGAAGAAAAAUAGGUCCUUGUGAGUACGAAGCAACCACUUGCUUCAGAAUCACAAUAAAAUCACAAAUAUUCAUUACUCACAAAUAAUAUUUAUUUCUGUUGUUCAACCUUUACAAACAUUGCUUGUGAAACUAACAAGCAUUAGCUUUAUAAUGACAUAGCACUUAAUAGCACACAUUUAUUCGUGCAUCCAUUUUAGAAGACACCAUAGCAACUUCAAACACGCUAAAUACUUAGAAGAUAUGUCUCUCUCUCUCUCUCUCUCUCUCUCUCUCUCUCUCUCUCUAUAUAUAUAUAUAUAUAGAUGGUUCAAGCAUUUUUGAUGUGAUGAGAUUCAAUGUCUUCAACCAUGUGAAGGAAAAAGUUGAGCAAGGUUCCUGGAUGUGGGGUAUCUUCCUUCAGCUUCUCAUAGUCGAGAGUCCAUGUAAUCAAACUUUCUUUGUCACCAAGAACAUCAACAUGGUAUAUGAUAGUGAAGGUCUUGUACAGCUCCAUGAGAUCUCCUUCAAUCAUCUUAAAUACGAUUGAUUUCUUUUCUUCAUUUAUGUCUUGAAUAAUCUGCUUUGCCACCCUAUCUUUCCCGUCUGUAAAAAUGAAAAGUAAAUCAAUUACAGACUCUCCAAUUCCUAGUCAACAUGCUGGUAAUCCAAAAACAAGGUUUGCGGAAUUCUUUCUUUUCGGUUUUUAGGGAUAGACAAUACUAUUCACACAACCAGGGAAGAAUUCUCGUUGUGAAACAUCUGGUAUAUCGCAUAAAAAACUUGAGAAAAGCAAAAGAAAAAAAAUUCUGUAGUAUUAAUUAAUUGAAUUCUUUACGAAGAUGGACUUCCUUAAUUAACCUCUGUAGUUUCCACAAUCAGAUUAUUGUCUUCGUAUAAAUACUAAUAAUAAUAUUAAUAAUACGGUUAAUAGUAAUAGAUCUAGUCCGUUUUUCAUUAAAACUUUUCCCGAGGCAGAUAUUAAGCUUUUAUCCUUUCUUUUUCCUGGCAAAUAAGUUAGAUAACUAAUUGUGUGCCAGUUCAAAGCAGGGAAAAACGGAUGGAGAGAGUUUAAAUCAACUUAGUCCAGAAGCUGACCAACACGCAACAAAAGCUAAAUGAAUAAAGGAAAAACAAGAAAAACUGCGGGGAAGAAAGAGCUUUGAAUAUUGAUUCCAUACCAUGGGUAUAAUGCCAGCAGAUUUUGGAUCCAACAGUUCCAAGAUCACCACCAAGCAAAGUAAACCCUUGAACUUUCUCAGGAGUCAUGGUGGCAAGAUGGUGUGGUCUUUUGCUGAAGACAUCAUGGAACACAUCUCCAGCAGGGCCAUGGAUGUUAGUUUGACCAAUCAUUUUACCUUUGAGCCCCAUUUUUUUUUCUGAGAAACUGAGAAGGAAAUGACCAAAUACUGCUGCAGCAAAAAAAUGCAAAGAAAUAUUGAAGGAAGUCUCAGUUGUGGUCUGCUAGACUAUCCCUCUGCUCCUUAUAUAGUAUAGAACUGAUGGGUGACUUCACCCCCCACCUCCACCCCCACCCUUUCUUUUUUUUAAUUGGGGUCUAUAAACCACGUAAGAGGAACCAAUUAUCUUCGCCGAAACUAUCAUUUUUUUCCCUAGUUCUGACAUUGUUAGAAACUUCUUUUUUUUUUUUUUAAUUCAUGAGAUGUUGUAUUGGUACAUCAGCCCUAAUAAAUGAUACUCAGCAUCCAUUAAAAUGUGAUUAUCCUCAUUUUCUAUUAAUCUAUAAUCAUAUUACAUCUAUAGUUUUGCACUUAGGGUCAACAGACUCGACAUCAUUCAUUUUUUUAAUGCCUACAACUAAGGUUUUCUUGUGGGCAACUUAAAUUUUAUUUUAAUCGAUAUCUCUUAGUCUCAUUUUUGCUUUACGACAAGAAUACUUCACCAACAUUGGAUAGAAUGAAGGCCAUCCUUGACAAAUUAUUUUGGAGAGAUCUACUUCUCUUGUCCAUGGCAAAAACGACUCUCCAGUAAUGACUCUUAGAAGUUGGUUAACACAAUAAAUGAUAUGAAUUCAUGAGUUUGGGAUAGUUGGCAAGUAGGUUGCUAAUGUCAAUAGGAGAUCGCAAGUUCGACUCCUGCACGUGGCGUCUUGAAAAACUCUAGUAAGAUGCUCAUCUCCGAAUAAAAGUUAGACUUUACGGAUGCUCCUUGGAUCGAAUCCGGAUUAGUCUCACGAAGAGUGGGAAUAUUGGGUGCUUAAAGCAAAAUAAAUAAAUAAAUAAAUGAUAUCCUCUUCUUACAUGGUUUGUGGUAGGUGAUAACUGAGGCAUACUAUUACCAAAUGGGAAAUAAACUGAUGCCAUACCACUUCACAUGAUUCACACAACACAUAAAAUUUCUUAAUUGUUUCCGGCACUUGGGCCAUAUUUCAUGGGUUGGUCAACUUGGGAUCCUUAUCAAAGAUUAAUUGGCAGACAAGUUAAGGUCUUAUUUGGAUUACAGUUAUCUUAAGAAUUUUUUUUACAUUUUGUGUGAACACAUUUAUGAAUCAUAUUUUUAUUUCAUAUAUAUCAAAUUAUUGCAACAUAUUUUUUUUUUUACAAAAACUUUUAAAAAUAGUAGUCCGAUUGGGUUCUUACCUAUUUAAGACUUCGAUGUUUCGCUACCAAAAAAAAAAAUACAAUUAAAAACUCGUCUUAUGUGGAUGCGGGGCACUGGUGAGUGAAGCAAGACCAACGCCGUGGUGUAAUAUGGGACAUUGACUUCAAAAUUUGGAAUUCAACUAUCGAACAUCAAAUUAAGCUCAUCCGGUCCAAUCAUUGUAAAUUGGAUGAUUGUUUUGGUUCAACCGCACCAACACUUAACCCAUUUUAUGUGCGCUGAGGAUGGCCCUCCCGACUCGGCCAUAUCGAGCUCAACCCUUUGUUAUUUGGGAUGGGUCGCCACAAGUCUUGGUUAUCUCGGCUAGACAUCGCAUACGGAUAAUUGAGGUGACUCCCACAUUCAUUGGUACCUCGGAUUGGUGCUGUGCUUGACACGACAUCCAAAGUCUUAUCAGAGAACUUGAUACUUGCAUGGCGGACAAGACAUCUGAUGGGACCUGUCUACUGCUCCAUCUUGUCAAAUCAGACUGGACAUGCUUAGUCCCUGCCAGGUCCUAGGAAGUUGAAACCCACUAUUCCUUCCUCCCACUUAUCCCUUAUAAAUACUACUCCUUCUACUUCAGGGGGAGGAGAAAAAAAAGAGUAAGGACUCUUCUAUUUCCAUUCCAUUAUUAACUUUCCAAGAAAACUAACUUAAUCAUCGAAGGUAUCCCGGGGGAAAAAGCCCCGCCUAGUGUGUGUAUCAGGAAAAGAACACCACCAAAUCACCUCAAUCAGGAAGAGGAGGCAUCUGGUCAGCUCGGCUUGAUCAUCCAGGAACAGUGUCUUCAUGUAUAUAUCAACUUUCUUUUCAUAGGAUGAAGACAAGUUUGCAGUAAAUACCAAAUACCCACCAGCUACACCUCACAUCACCCGUUUUAUGUAAAUGAACUUUCUUUUUUUUUAAUGGAAUGAAAAUAAUUCGGGAAUAAGUUUGCAGUAAAUACCAAAUACCCACCAACUGCACCUCGCAUCACCCCGUUUUAUGUAUAUCAACUUUUUUUUUUAAUGGAAUGGAAAUAAUUCAGGAAUAUGUAUUAGUUUUCUUACGAGUUUCAAUUGGAUACUCCUUAAGACAUCUAAAGUACACUAAAAUUAUCAUGUGAAAAUACAUAUUAACAUUUAUUAUACCUCCUAAAUUGCAACAUUUUUUUUUUUGAAUUAGUUAUACUUUUUAAAAAAAAAAACUAAUAUCUAGUACUUUUUUAACAAGUGGCCAAUAGACACUCGUCAAUCAAACCGUAGAAUUAGAUACCCAAAUCUUUUAACCCAAAAAAAGGUCCAAUUCAGUCGGGGGGCCAAACUAGGGAUGUAAGCGAGGCUACUCGUGAGUAGCUUGGUCAAUGGCUUGGUUUAAACUCGAUUAAACCGAGUUCGACCAGAGUCUCAAGCUACUCGAGUACACAUUCAAGUCGAGUUUGAGUCAGAAUUUUGCAACUCGUGGCUCGACGACUCGUCGAGCCAUAUAAUUUAAAUAAUAUAUAUAAUUUAAAUAAUAUAUGUAUUAUAAUUAUAAAAUGACAGUUAUGGGUAUAAUUUAUAUCGAAUUUACAAGUAAGGUAUCAAGUCAAAAAGCUUGAUUACUCGACUCGAUAAGGCUUGACUAAAGGUCGAGCCUUAUCGAGUCGAGUCUCGAGCUUUUAAAGAUUUUCUCGAGUCAAGCUCAAGUUUGAGAUUUUUCGACACAAUCGACUUCGAGUCGAGCUCGAGCCAAGUUAUUUAUAGGUCGAGUCGAGCUCGAGUAUAGCAAUACUCGAGCUCGACUCGGCUCGAUUACAUACCUAGGCCAAACAAGCUAUAUGUCACUCAUGUCUGGGGGGUUAUAUUCUCAGAAGUGAUUUUCAAGAUAUAGGCAGAGUAGUGGACUGUAUUAAAUUGGGACAUCGUAAUUCGUAAUUUUUAUCACAGCAAUCUUACUUGAAAUACAGGAAUUAAUGAAAGUUAGGUGCAGUGGACAUUAUUUAAUGUAUUUAAUAAACUAAUAGAGGCCCCUUUGAUUCUUGACUCAAUUCUUGACUAAUGGAUGCAAAGAAACAAGUCCCCAUAAGAGUUAGGAUAAAGUUCGGUACUAAAAAAAACUUUGUAGGAAAUUAAACCAAGCUAUUUUAGUAUUAGUCUCGUAAUUCUUUUUGUUGUCUUAUUUGUCUAGUUUUCAUAUUAAAUUAGGAAAUCUCAAUCAGUUUCCAAGUAAGUUUUGAUUUACAACUGUAUUUGUUUUAGGAAAUUUUGGAGUUUAUAAAUACUAACAGCUUAGUAAGUAAUUAUUUGAAGUGUUGAGUUGAGUUUUAAGAGUAGGUUUGAGAGAAAAUCUCAUAGUUGAGAUUUGUGAGUUGUUAUGAGCGAAAAGCUACGACUUGAUAUUUAUUAUUGUUGGGUUUUGAAUUAAAUAAAUUAUUGACUAUUUGUUUUCUUCCUCUUCCCACAUAUUUUUAUAUGUGUCAAAAUUGCUUCCGCUGUGCGCGAGGAUUUUUGGUGUGCUAACAAGUGGUACCAGAGCUUUAGACUUUGAUCCUAGGGCUUGUCCGCAAAAUUGGGGCUUAGAGCUUGUUCAUGAAAUUAAAGUAUGGAUCCCCAUUAUUUACAACAUUGUCUAGCUUUUAUCUUUGAUGGUAAAAAUAAUUUUGAGACUUGGAGGUCGAUGAUGAAGGAUUUUUUCAAAGAUAUUGGAAUUUGGAAUAUUAUCCAAAAGGGAUUCACGGAAUCUAUAACAGGUACAAAGUUAUCAAGUGAUGCAGUUAAACAAUUAGAGAGGAAUAAACAAUUAAAUUACAAGACAUUUUACUAUCUCAGUACCCAAAUCCAGUUACAAGUAGUGAAAAAUUCAUACAUGUAAAGACAGCUAAGGAGGCUUGGAAAUUUUUAAUAAAAUUUUAUGGCCAUAGUGGAGAAGAAAUUUGUGAUGAAGAAGAAAAAGAAUAUUUUGAUGAGACAAAGAAAGAAAAAAUUGUAGAAAUUGUGAGUGCACAUGAAGAUGAAAAAUUUGUGAUUCAAGAAGAAAUCUCAUGUGUGGUUGAGAAAAAAGGUGAAGUCAGUGAUGAAGUUAAAGAUGUGCCUCAAGAUCAUAGCAACGUAGAAACUGUAAAUUUUGUCGAGAUUGAUGAAAUUUUUGAAGAGAAAAAUCAAGUGAUGGACUUGGUUGAGAUCAAUUGUGAGGUGCACAAAUUAAUUGAAAAUUGUGAUACUACUAAAGUUGAUGCAAUUAUUAGUGUGAAACAAAAUAAAGGAAAAACAUGGUGAUGUUAAAAACAUUGAUAGCAACAACUAUGAUUUUCUGAUUUUGGGAGAUUUUCUUGGUGACAUGAAUGAAUUAAAUUAUGGAGUAUCUAAUGGAGUAUGGGUGAGUAUGAUUGAAUUUUUUUGAUAAGAGUGAUCAAACGAAGAAACUGUUUGAGAAGUACAAGUUUCAUCCACUAUUGCACGUGAAAAUGAAGUUGGACAUCAAUUGCAAAUUGGUGUUCCACAUCAUCUAUUCAGCGACGGAGUUUUUCAUGGAGAUUCAAGCUUAUGAUGGCAUUGGAAAUGACAACAUUAAGAGCUUGGUUUAAGGGAGGCAAUGUAGGAAAUUAAACCAAGCUAUUUUAGCAUUAUUCUCCUAAUUCUUUUUGGUGUCUUGUUUGUCUAGUUUCCAUAUUAGAUUAGGAAAUUUCAAUCAGUUUCCAAGCAAGUUUUGGUUUACAACUGUAUUUGUUUUAGGAAAUUUUGGAGUCUAUAAAUACUAACAGUUUAGUAGGUUAUUAUUUGAAGAGUUAAGUUGAGUUUUAAGAGUAGGUUUGAGAGAAAAUCUCAUAGUUGAGAUUUGUGAGCAAAAAGCUACGACUUGAUAUUUAUUAUUGUUGAAUUUUGAAUUAAAUAAAUUAUUGAGUAUUUGUUCUCCUGCUUUUCCCACAUAUUUUUAUAUGUGUCAAAAUUGCUUCCGCAGUGCAUGCGUUUUUUUGUGUGCUAACAAACUUCGAUAAAGCAUUGACUGGCUUUAGAAUACAAUUGCGCUACAUCACAAAAUGGAACAUAAAUAUAGAUGAGGCAUUUAAAAUUUAUGUCAUGUUAAAUAUUGGAGUAUUUCCCACUUUUUCUGCUAAUAGACGUGUCCCUGUUUGGAGAUUUGUCUAGCAAUGAAGGUUGUCAAGAUUUUUUUAUAUAUUUUUUUGGGGGUGGUCCUAGUUGGGUCACCGUCUGAGAUUUUCUUGGCCUGAAGAAAUCAAAUAUUGAUACCAUUAAGCCCAGAAGAUAUUUUUUUUCAAUUAAAAAGAUGCAACUUUGGUUGGUUUUCAAUGCAUUUUUCAUAAAUCUGCAAGCUAACUGAGUGUCCUGGGCAAAAAUUAAUUGGUCACCAAGUUUUAGCAUUCUUAUGACUUUAAUGUUUUCUGUGAUUUUGGAACCAGGUAACCAUACCAUCUUUCUGAACUUUUCUUUACCAAAAAAAAAAAAAAAAAAUUAUAGCAGGACAAAAUUAAUAGGAGUUCGUGUUAUUUGAAAAAAUCUAGUUUUAUGUGGAUCCGAGGGACCGGUGGGUGAAAGAUCAAUAUCUUGAAAUCAAUAUUGACUUCAAUGUCUUGAAAUCAAACAUGUAACAUCAAAUUUCCGUCAAUGUAACAUCAAAUAGGAGUUCGUGUAAUAUUUAUUUCUUUAACAUCUAUUACUCUGACUAUAAAAUAAAUUUUUAUACUUACUGUUGCGUAAUAAUUUGUUAUUGAAUCAUGAGAAAAUGAGUUUAAAACGAUUACCUAUUACCUAACAUUUCACUUCUAUUUAAAGACGAAAGACAAUAACAGUAAUAAUCAAUAAAAAAUAUUACAUUAUUGGGAAUAAUAUUUAAAAAAACAAUGGAAAUGCAAAUGUUUAAAGAAUAAAUAGUACCGGAAUUUCUAAUUUGAUGUGAAUGACAUUUUAAUCGCUGUAGUUGGGAUUUUGUCCUUCGAAUUUGAUGUGAGAUUUCUCUUUCGUCAACGCAAAGUUGAUGAAACUUUUCGAAUUGCAGUGUGGAAUCGUUGCAGUGUACGUUUCGUUUUUCGCAAUCUUGCGAGUUUAAAAUUUAAUUGUCGUUGAAAUGCUUGUAGGCGGGCAUGCUCCAUAGUGAAAUUAGGUUAAGGGCUAAGAUGGAUACCAUAAAAAAGUUGAAGGAGAUAAUAAGUUUUUGGAAAAAACGCAAAAAAGUUUUCUUAAUUGGAGUGAGCACGCAAGAAAGUUGAAUGAGGAUACUAUAUUUUGGAAGAAUUUUAAUUAGAGUGGAAUUCUUAAAUUGGAGGACUCUUAAGUGGAGUGGGAAAGUAGGAGAAAUGUAGGGAAAAUGUGAGCAUGAUGAUAGAAUUUUUAGGAGAUGAUUAGUUAAGAGAUAAACAUUUCUUAAAUUAGAGGACUCUUAAUUGGAGUGAGAAAUGUGGGGGAAAUGUGAGCAUGAUAUAGGAUUUGUAUUAUACUGAAUAACUUGAUAGUAUACUCAAAUCACCGAUGAGGUAAAAUUUGCCUAAAUAAGUUUUACAGUGUCCUAAUUCCUUGAAAAAAAAAUUGCUAAAUAGUCCUAAUUGGCACUACAAGUUACGGCAACGUGCCAGUGGCAUCUAGUCCUAAUUUUUUUUGGGGUCAAAAUCUAGUCCUAAUUGGUUCUGUUGUUUCUUGAUCAUGUUGUAUGCUCCUAAAUUCUACUUAGCGUGUAAUAAUUGAUAAUGGCUUAUUCUAUUCUUUCAUGGUAUUGGACAGGUGAAAAUCACACUAGAAGUGUGGUAAAUUUACUAUAAACUCCUAAUAUUAUCUCCCCUAAUUUUUGUAUAUUUUUUUAAAAAUUUAAACUUUUGUCAACAAUAGGCUGGUCAUGCAAAUAAAAAAAGGGAAUAGUCACACAUCUCAUUCUUUGCCCUAAAGAACUCAAUUUAGCAAAUUUCUUAGAAUAAUGGUGAAAAAAAUCACAACAAUGGAGGAACCUGGGUUUGUUUCCUUCUUUUUUCUUUUGGAUUUGAAACAGCCCUAUUCAGUUAUAAAAAAUAAAUAAAUUAGCCAUCUUACGUUCAUUAAGAAAGGGAAAAUUUUUUGGUCGCUGCACAUGGAUGUCCGGCCAUCCUAAAGGGAAAAAAAAACAAUUGUUCCAUUCUUGCGAUUUUUUUUAGGGUCUUAACUUUACAUUUAGUUGCACAUUUGUGAUUUUUUUGAAACGUGAUUGUAAUUUGUAAAGGUCAUUUGUAAGAGUGGCUAUAGGAUUAGUUUAGUGAUAAAUAUUUCUUAAUUAUAAAAAUGUAAAAUUGUAUUAAAAUAGCAUACGAAUGAACAUUUGUCUUUAAUUAAGGAGAAAAAAAGAUUUAAAGUAUAAAUAACAAACUAUAAACGGUUUAUAAAGUAGAUAGCGGGAAAGUUUGAAAUUUUAAAUUUGACUGGUGAUAAGGUUAGUCAUAACCCACUAUUUUUUAUGUAUUAAAAUAAAUACAAAAAUCUAGAAAAAAGAAUAAGAAGUUGGAAGCUAUUGAGAGUCUCUCUCCUAAAAAUCCACUCUGCAAUACAUAUAGAUAUAGAUUUUCCUAUCAUUCUGCUAAUAAACUUGUCCCUAUCUAAACCUAGAGAAAUGUUCACCAAGUCCUACUUGGGUGACACAGAUUUUUCUUGGCUAGUAGAAAUAGACAUUGAUAAUUUGAGAGGUUAAAUGAAAAGUGUGAAUAUCAAUUUCCAAUAUAAGGGUAUUUUCCUAUCUUUCUACUAAUAGACUUGUCCUUAUCUAAACCUAGAGAUAUGUCCACCAAGUCUGUCUUAGGUCAGAGUCUGAGAUUUUCUCGGUUAGCAGAUAUCGAUGUUGAUAGUUUGAUAACAUUAAGUCCAAAAGAUUAGCUGGGCUUGGCUCUGAUCACUAUUUACGGCAUGUGGUGAUUCAUGAUCCGUGGUCGCAAUCAAAGUCAAACCCAUCUAAAUUGUUUAUUAUAAAAAAAUUAUUAAUUACAAAAGAUUUUUUUUUUUUUUAAUAAAGGAUGCAUUCUUUGGUUGGUUUUCAAUGGAUUUUACGUAAAUCUGCAGGCUAAUUGAGGUCCCUACCAAAUAAAUGGAAAGAAAAUAGUCCGUACCAUGUUAUGUUAAUUUCCAUGGCUUGGAGGGGUAGUUUUGACACCCACUCUACACAUGAUUCAUGGCUUAAUUAAUUUGAGUUUACAGAUAUCCACUCAAAUCAAUUUGAUAUGACAGGAGUAGGGCUGGCAACCCCGUUGUCAAAUAACUCCCCCCGUCCCCCGUCCCCCGCCCCAUCCCCUGUCCCUUGCCCCCAUCCCUCACCCCGUUUCCCCCGCGGUCCCCCGUGAGUAAAGAAAUCAAUUUACAAAAAGUAAAACUCUUCUCAUAUAUCCAAGCAUUUUUGAGAACUAACAGGAGAGAGGAAGAAUUCCCAAACACUAACCAAAAAUACCAAGAACAGUUAAAAUCCAGAAAUAACAAAAGGCAAAGAUCAAUGGAAAACAUAAAAAAAAAAAUCAGCAAAAUGAAGGGAAAAACAAACCCAUGGUUGUUGAAACUGCUUAUAAACGAUAUCAUAGGUCAUGGAAAGAAUUCUUGUUCCAUUAGACUCUCGUAUUUACAUUUUCAUUGAGGCUUUUAGACAAACAUCUUAUAUAUAUAUAUAUAUAUAUAUAUAUAUAUAUAUAUAUAUAUAUAUAUAUAUUUUAUGCGGGGGACGGGGCGGGUGUACGUUGCCCCCAUCCCACGCCCCGUUUUAAGGCGGGGGUAAAUAUUUCGCCCCCACCCCGCCCCCACCCCAUUUCUACCCCGCGGGGUGGGCACCCGCCCCCAUUGCCAUCCCUAGAUAGGAGACAAAUGAUGUAUCACUUGAUUUUUUUUUUGUGUAUAUAUCAUAUCUUGAUUUUUUUAUGUGUAUAUGUCAUAUCACGAUGCUAUUGCAAAUUUUUGUUUAAAAAUUACUUGCAUAUACAAAUUCAUCCGUGACGUGCAUUUGGAUUAGUCUAUGAGGAUAUGGAUCCAAUUAGACCGACAGUUUCCUUUUCUUUUUUUUUUGUCCAAUCAAUGUUGUAGCGUCUCAAUCCCUAGGGUUCUUAGUGAUAAAUCAAAUUGACAAAUUAUUAAUGUAACACAUCACUAAAGUUGUGCAAGUUGUAACCAAACCAUUUAAUAUUCUCAGACUGGCAACAUCAACUGGUUAAACUUUUAAUUCAUCUUCUUGCUAGGAGACAAAUUUUGCUUUUCUUCUACAAUUCUAAUAGAAAUUUAAUUUAAUUUAUCCACUAUAGAUAGUCAUACAAACUGAGCUAACAAUAAAAAAAGGAAAAUACUGCAGAAUGUACCAUCUAAAACCACAGAGAUAAAGAGAUUCCGCAGCUCAGUCACAACAUUGCACUUUUACCAUGUUAUUGUAUAAUUUUAAGAAUUAGUGUUUUAUACACCAUUAGCGUAAAGUUUUUUUUUUUUACAUUAAGAGGUACAGAUAUAUGAUACAUAGACAAAACGUGAAUUUAAAGUUUGAAUAGUGAUGAAGUGGCAUUCAUCUAAAAUAAACCUACUUGUGUAAAAGAAAAAAAAACUUUACACUAAUUGUGUAUAAAAAUUGGUAGCAGCAACUAUGAUUUUCUGAUUUUGGGGGAUUUUCUUGGUGACAUGAAUGAAUUAAAUUAUGGAGUAUCUAAUGUAGUAUGGGUGAGUAUGAUUGAAUUUUUUGAUAAGUGUGAUCAAAUGAAGAAACUGUUUGAGAAGUACAAGUUUCAUCCACUACUGCACCUGAAGAUGAAAUUGGACAUCAAUUGCAAGUUGGAGUUCCAUAUCAUCUAUACAGUGACGGAGUUUUUCAUGGAGAUUCAAGUUCAUGAUGGCAUUGGAGAUGACAACAUUAAGAGCUUGAUUUAAGGGAGGCAAUGUAGGAAAUUAAACCAAGCUAUUUUAGCAUAUUAUUCUCCUAAUUCUUUUUGGUGUCUUGUUUGUCUAGUUUCCAUAUUAUAUUAGGAAAUUUCAAUCAGUUUCCAAGCAAGUUUUGGUUUACAACUGUAUUUGUUUUAGGAAAUUUUGGAGUCUAUAAAUACUAACAGUUUAGUAGGUUAUUAUUUGAAGAGUUGAGUUAAGUUUUAAGAGUAGGUUUAAGAGAAAAUCUCAUAGUUGAGAUUUGUGAGCGAAAAGCUACGACAUGAUAUUUAUUAUUGUUGGAUUUUGAAUUAAAUAAAUUAUUGAGUAUUUGUUCUCCUGCUUUUCCCACAUAUUUUUAUAUGUGUCAAAAUUGCUUCCGCUGUGCAUGCGAUUUUUUGUGUGCUAACAAACUUCGAUAAAGCAUUGACUGGCUUUAGAAUACAAUUGCGCUACAUCACAAAAUGGAACAUAAAUAUAGAUGAGGCAUUUAAAAUUUAUGUCAUGUUAAAUAUUGGAGUAUUUCCCACUUUUUCUGCUAAUAGACGUGUCCCUGUUUGGAGAUUUGUCUAGCAAUGAAGGUUGUCAAGAUUUUUUUAUAUAUAUAUUUGGGGGUGGUCCUAGUUGGGUCACCGUCUGAGAUUUUCUUGGCCAGAAGAAAUCAAAUAUUGAUACCAUUAAGCCCAGAAGAUAUUCUUUUCAAUUAAAAAGAUGCAACUUUGGUUGGUUUUCAAUGCAUUUUUCAUAAAUCUGCAAGCUAACUGAGUGUCCUGGGCAAAAAUUAAUUGGUCGCCAAGUUUUAGCAUUCUUAAGACUUUAAUGUUUUCUGUGAUUCUGGAACCAGGUAACCAUACCAUCUUUCUGAACUUUUCUUUACCAAAAAAAAAAAAAAAAAUUUAUAGCAGGACAAAAUUAAUAGGAGUUCGGGUUAUUUGAAAAAAUCCUAGUUUUAUGUGGAUCUGAGGGACCGGUGGGUGAAAGAUCAAUAUCUUGAAAUCAAUAUUGACUUCAAUGUCUUGAAAUCAAACAUGUAACAUCAAAUUUCCUCCUAUGGAGAGGUUGUUUAGGGGGAGUUUCUUCUCUCCUAGAGAUUUUUAGUGAGAGUUUUUUCUCUCCUAAAAAUUUCUGGUGAGAGAUUUUGUGGUUAGUCUACCUCUUAUAUUAGAUAUAAGUUUUUUUUUUUAGAUUUGAUUGUCAGAUCUAAGAUUUCUUAGAUCUACCCUAUCAAAUCUCACUUUAACAUAUGAAUUUAAAUAAGUUCAUUAGCAGAUUUAAAAGGAAGCAAUUAGUAGUAUAGUUGGAAGCAUACACGGAUGAUCUUAAGAUCAUGAAUAUUUUAUCUUUUAAUUUUUUUUAGAAUUUCAACGUUAUAUGCUAUUGACUUUCUAGAUUUGUAUAAUUGAUAUAAUUUCUGUCAUUAACGCAGAUUUAAUGAAAUGAUGCUGUUUUUUUAUUUAUUAAAAAUAAAUGUAACAUCAAGUUGAGCUCAUGCAGUCCAAUCAUUGUAAAUAUCAUUGUAAAUUGGAUGAUGCUGUUGGUCACCGCUCAACACCUCAACCAUUUUUAUUUCUUUAAUUCUUAUAGAAUGAAGACAAUUUAGCAAUAAAUACCAAACACCAACCAACGCCCCUCACCGCACCCCGUUUUCCGCACAUCAACCUUCUUUCAUGGAAUGAAGAUAAGUUAGGAUUCAAUAACCAUAUCCUUUAACCGACGAAAAAAAAGAAAGAAAAAAAGAAUCCGAUUUAGUCCGGGGGGCCAAAGAAGCCAUCUGUAAUUCAUAACUUAUAUUCUCAGAAGUGAUUUUAAUUGUCAGAAGAUCAAAAGAUGGGCAGAGUGGUGGACUGCAUUUAAUUGAGAUGCUGUAAUUCGUAAACUUUAUAAGGGCACAAGGGUUAUGAUAAAAUUUGGUACCCAAAAAAAAAAGAAAAAAACUUCGAUAAAGCAUUCGUGGGCUGUAUUUUAGCAUUUUCCACUCGCGCUACGUCAGAAAAUGGAACAUGAGCAUAGAUGAGGCAUUAAAAACUUAUGUUACUUGAAAUAUUAGGAGAAGUGAUAUCUGCACUUUCAAAUUAGUCUCUAGUACUGUUUAGAGACUAUACUCUUAACGAGUAAAUUGAAGUGCAAAAAAGGUUAAAUGAGGAGUGCGAAUAUCAAUUUUCAAUACCAGAAUAUUUUCCUAUCAUUCUGCUAAUAAACUUGUCCCUAUCUAAACCUAGAGAUAUGUCCACCAAGUCCUACUUGGGUGACACAGAUUUUUCUUGGCCAGUAGAAAUAGACAUUGAUAAUUUGAGAGGUUAAAUGAAAUGUGCCAAUAUCAAUUUUCAAUAUAAGAGUAUUUUCCUAUCUUUCUAUUAAUAGACUUGUCCUCAUCUAAACCUAGAGAUAUGUCCACCAAGUCCUACUUGGGUCACGGUAUGAGAUUUUGUCGGUUCGGAGGAAUCGAUGUUGAUAGUUGGAUAACAUGGAAGUCCAAAAGAUUACGUGGGCUUGGCUUUGAUCACUAUUCACGGCAUGUGGUGAUUCCUGAUCCGUGGUUGUGGUUGCAAUCAAAGUCAAACUCAUCUAAAUUGUUUAUUAUAAAAAAAAUUAUUAAUUACAAAAGAUUUUUUUUUUUUUUUUAAAUAAAGGAUGCAUUCUUUGGUUGGUUUUCAAUGGAUUUUACGUAAAUCUGCAGGCUAAUUGAGGUCCCUACCAAAUAAAUGGAAAGAAAAUAGUCCGUACCAUGUUGUGUUAAUUUCCAUGGCUUGGAGGGGUAGUUUUGACACCCACUCUACACAUGAUUCAUGGCUUAAUCAAUUUGAGUUUACAGAUAUCCACUCAAAUCAAUUUGAUAUGACAGGAGACAAAUAAUGUAUCACUUGAUUUUUUUUUUUUUUUUGUGUAUAUAUCAUAUCUUGAUUUUUUUUUAUGUGUAUAUAUCAUAUCACGAUUGCUAUUGCAAAUUUUUGUUUAAAAAUUACUUGCAUAUACAAAUUCAUCCGUGACGUGCAUUUGGAUUAGUCUAUGAGGAUAUGGAUCCAAUUAGACCGACAGUUUCCUUUUCUUUUUUUUUUGUCCAAUCAAUGUUGUAGCGUCUCAAUCCCUAGGGUUCUUAGUGAUAAAUCAAAUUGACAAAUUAUUAAUGUAACACAUCACUAAAGUUGUGCAAGUUGUAACCAAACCAUUUAAUAUUCUCAGACUGGCAACAUCAACUGGUUAAACUUUUAAUUCAUCUUCUUGCUAGGAGACAAAUUUUGCUUUUCUUCUACAAUUCUAAUAGAAAUUUAAUUUAAUUUAUCCACUAUAGAUAGUCAUACAAACUGAGCUAACAAUAAAAAAAGGAAAAUACUGCAGAAUGUACCAUCUAAAACCACAGAGAUAAAGAGAUUCCGUAGCUCAGUCACAACAUUGCACUUUUACUAUGUUAUUGUAUAAUUUUAAGAAUUAGUGUUUUAUACACCAUUAGCGUAAAGUGUUUUUUUUUUUUUUUACAUUAAGAGGUACAGAUAUAUGAUACAUAGACAAAACGUGAAUUUAAAGUUUGAAUAGUGAUGACGUAGCAUUCAUCUAAACCUACUUGUGUAAAAAGGGAAAAAAAACUUUACACUAAUUGUGUAUAAAAAUUAAUCCCAAAUUUUAAUCAUAGUCCUUAUAACGUAAAUUAGAUUAGAAAAGCACUUGCAUAUUUCUCUAUCAUAUGCUUUACGCUGAACUAGUCUUUUGAGCAUAAUCAUUAUGCUAAAAAUUUCUUGACAACAUAAUAGGGAAACCUGUGGAGUUUGAUGAACCAACGGAGUUGAUGAAAAAGAAAUAUUGGUCUCUUUGUCAAGCUCUGCAGAAUUACAACGAAAUUAACAGCAGAGACAGUGUGUGAUCCUUUUACAUGGCUUUCUAGUAAAUAUAACUCCUCAAACACAGCAAUAAAAAUUUCCUUACAACUUCGUAAAAUGUAAUAAAACUACCAUUUGUGGGUCAAUUUCACGAGUGUGCCUAAAAUAAUACCAUAAAAUUAGUUAGUGCGAUAAUAGACAUGAUGUGCUAUUUAUCGUAUUAAUUGCCUUUUCUUUUUUUUUUUGGUACAGGAUAAAAGGACAAAUCGUUAAUGACUAUCUUGUAGCUCUCUACAUGUUCUGAAUGAAGGAUAAUAAUAUCUUCUUUUGUGUGAAAAGAAAAAAAUGAUAAAUCUUAAGGAUGCAUAUGCUAAGUUCUAUGAUUCCCCUAAUGCCAAAUAUUUGACAGAGACUAAGCCAACUAGUAAUUAAAAUAAGUUGAUCUUGAGGGUAAAAUGGAGGUAUCAAAAAUAUUAGUUUCCUAGAAGUUCUAUGAAAAUUUCCCUGUUUAAGGUAAAAAAAAAAAAAAGAACCAUGUUUAUUCAUCUACAUAGCCUCAUCAUAACUUCAAUAUAGAAAUCAUUUGUCAUGUGUCAACAAUUCAUGGUAGCAUGUGUUGUAUCAGUUACAGGACUUUAGGGCAAACUUUAGCUUCCUAUAAAACAUUUAUGAUUCAAUGACUUUGGUGCACUCCCAAAAAAGAUGUUCAAAGUAAUUUGAUUCAGCUUCGUCUUGAUUAGAUCGAGGAACUCAAGCCAAUAUGCGCCAACUCCCGAGUUGGACUUUCUGGUCACUUCAAUGUUGCCCUAAUCCAAAUCUUUACACUAGGAAAAUGAGUUCAACCAAAAAAAUAUUGCAGUAUUAAACUGGCCUCUGAGAGAGGAAUCGAGACAUAAAGUUUUCAAUACGUAGAAAUUCAUUAAACAGCUGAUAAUAAUUACAUCGAUCGAUUAUUGGACCACACCAUUAACAUAUGAUAUUAUCAUAACUCAUAGGAGCAAGCACACAAUCUAUUUCAGGUUUGCACAUGGUACAACCUUCGUCGAGCUUACAUUUAUUCAAUACACUAACUGGAGAUCUUGGAACUUCCAAACACACAUGUUCGUGCCAUCUAUGAUGACAAUUUAGCACCCCUUCAUUUGAGAUGGUGAGUCUCAAUAUCCUUAGUGACAUGAAGGCAAAAGUCCAUCAGAGUAUUUGGAUCUGGGAUAUUGGGAUUCUUUUUCUCAUACUCGAAGGUCCAUGUAACCAAGUUGCUUUUGCCAUGGGCAUCAACAUGAACUGUUAUGAUGAAGGUCUUGUAUAACUCCAGCACAUCUCCUUCAAUCACCUUGAAUGUGAUUGACCUCUUUGCCUCAUCUAUGGCCUGGAUAACCUCUUUGGCCACUUUCUUUUUUCCAUCUAAAAAAAUUGAAGAAUUGAACGAGAAGAGUGUGAAACUCUAAAGGUAAAAAAAACAAAAUUCAGUAAUUAUUAAGGCCAAGAAAAAUAAAUUUUCCUAGUGGCCUCGCAACCAUGCAAAGAUUGUUAACAUUUGACCUUUACUUGAACCUUUCAAUUUUAUCUUUCAAUUUUUUUAGCAGGUGAGGAUGAAAUUUAAGAAAUUACAAGAGGGACGAAGGUGUUGAACAACCAGGCACCAAGAUCAUUUGUGAGUUGAAAACUUUGCUCAAAUAGAUCUAAGCAUUAUACAUGCAUGCAGAAUCAUAAACAAGAAAAGAUGGAAAUAUUUGAAAGGAACAACGAAAAGAAGGAAAAUCAGGAGGAAAUUCAGAUACCGUGAGUAUAAUUCCAGAAGAUGACAGAUCCGACGGUUCCCCAAUUACCAUCAUGCAGAUCACAACCUUGAAUAUGAGUAGGGCUCAUCGCAGAUACAUGGUGUGGUCUGUGCCUAAAAAUUUCAUGAAACACAUCUCCAUCGGAUUUUAUCUCGAUUUGGUUAACGAGCUUACCAGUAAGACUCAUUUCUUCUAGCUUUUUUAAGCCAAGAAAAUAUGACUACUGAAGGAAGAGGGGUGAGGGAAAGCUAAAGACUGAAGGGCCUUUUAUAGUUGAGUUGUCUGCAUUACUUAAACGCCAAAACGUCAUAGUGUACUAAGGGCCAGCUGUGUUUGUCUCGUUUGAGUUAAAGCUUGAAUUGGUUUAAGGAGCCAUUUGGUUUGAAUUUCACAGUCACUGUCAUUAUCUGUAUCAUAGGGUGAUCAAUGAUAAUAGAUUUUGAUGAAAACCCAUAGUAUAUUUAUUAAUGUAAAAUGGAUUUUAUAAUUUAUAAUUUAUAUUAUUUCUUUUUUUUUUUUCCAUUUGUUGGAACCAGUAGAAACGAUGGCAUUUUUUUUCUUAUUUUUACAUUUAAAGAGAAAAAGAUAAAUAAUUAAAAUGGCAUUUUGUUUUCCAAUUUUUAUAUUUAAGGAGAAUAAGAUGGGUAAUUAAGAUGAUUUCCUAGUGAAGGUGAUUAAUCACAAAACCCAUAGAAGAGGCCUAUCAUUCCCAUUAGCCUCAAACAAACAUCAUAUAUGGGUGUAAUUGAAUUUGAAACUUGUGUUGAAACCCAUUUACUGAACAUCCCCUAAUUUUUUAAUGGAUUGGGUUGUGUGCCUUAUCUAAAGACCAAAAAGUCUCAACUAGGGUAUUCACGGUAAAGAUUUUGUUGCAAAAAUUUCAAUAACAAAAAAUGUAACUGACAAAAUGUGUUUUGCGCAUUACAUUUAUCUAUUUCUCAUAACAUAUUGCAUAGACAUCAUUAGGAAUGCAAACGAGUCGAACCGAAUCAAGUUUCGGCCUAAUCGAGCCAAGGCUCAACAUAAUUUUAUGAAACUUCAACUUGAGUUUGAGUUCGAGCUUAAAAAAUAAAAAAUAAUUUUAUUUUUUAAAAAUGAAUAAAAUAAUAAUUUUUAAUAAAUAAUAAAAUAUUAGAAAUAUUUAUAUAUAAUUUUAUUAUUAAAAUAAAAAUAAUAAAAAAAUAUACAUAUAAUCAAGCUCGAUCCUGCUCACGAAUUAAUGAGUUACCAUUCAAUGGGGGUAUUUUUGGAGUUAACCCCAUUAAUGAGUUAACUCCAAAAAUACUCAACAAAGAAUGGUAAUACUUGGGCAUUGAUUGGGAUCCCAUAAAGUGGAAAUAUAUUUUUUUUUGGUAACAUCAAAGUUAGAUCCGGACCGGAUUUGUCGGUUCGAUUGGUCCGACUGUGAAUUGAUUUUUUUUUUCAAAUUGGUUUGUAAUAUAAAACUGAUUUGAUAAAAACCUAUCGAAACCACAAAAAAUCGGUUAAACCAGUGACCUAAUUCGACUGGUUGAUCCGGUUCUUAAACUUUUCUUUUUUCUUUUCCCUAAACAUAAUUGAGUUACCUAAAUUGUAAUAUUUUCAUUUAUUAAUAGAAAUAAAAAAAGUCACCCAUUUAGUGUAAAUAUCAAAAUCACUCGCUUUCUUAAAUGAUUUUUAAAUCAAGAUGUAUUCAUUCCUAUGAUCUCAUUAAUUUAGCAUUGUGAUUCCAAUUUGCAUUAAUUUGUUUUAAUUUAGUUUUUCAAGUAGUUUUGGAGAAUGGACAUAUUUUAACCAAGAAUUUACAUUUUUAUAUAUAAUUAUUAGGUGUAUAUUUGAUUGCAUGUCUAAUAUUUUUGGAACAUUUUUCAUGAUUGACGAAAUAUAACCAAGAACUUAAUUUCAAUAUUUCUGAAACUUAUAAAAAUAUAAAAUAAUUAUAACAUCAUGCUGAUAUCAGCAAAUUUUUUAGAACGGUUCAAUUGAUCUAACCAGUUGACCACCUCUGAUCAAAUAGUUUAGCCGAGUCGCUAUCGGGUCCGAGUUUAACAACAUUGGAUAUCAUUUGGUGGUGCAUGAUUUACCAAUCCAUCAACCAAUUACGAGCACUACAACUAAAGUACUUUAUUUUCUUGGCAUGCAUUGCAAUUGCACUUUUAUUUUAUUUUGUUUUGUUUCUGGGAUAUAAAUUAUCCUCAAAAGUUGUACUUUAUUCUAGUUGGAGUAAAAUAUCAUCAGCGCUAAUAAAAUGAUUUUUGUUCUCUUUUUCUUUUUUUUCCCUCUUCCCCACGAAAGCAAGUAAAUUUAUAUUUUAGAGAGAGGCAACAAAAUCUCCCUGUAUUAUUCCAUUUCUUAUUUUUAUUCAACUUAGAUCUAGCACAAUGAAAUCAAAGAUAUGAAAAGAUACAUAUAAAAAAAAAGCAAAAAAAAAAUAGAGGGAAAGACAAAUCUUGCAUUAUGAAAAAAGUAAACAAAUAAUACUAAUAUAAGAACAAUAAGAAAAGGAAUAACAAAAUAGAAGGCUUAUUGGACUUUUCAUAGAUGUAUUGGGUUAAUAUUAAUAAUUUUUUUUUACAUAGAUAAUUUGACAUUUGAGCUACUAGUCUUACCCAGAUAAGUUCCAAAGUAUGUUAAUUUUGGACUUGAAUCAUUUUUACAAUCCCAUAUUCUAUACAAAGCCAGAAAGAGUGAAUUCUUUGAAUCAGUACCUAGUAAUUUUACUUAAUUAACUCCAUGUGUAUAAUUUGGAACCAAUGUAACUAUAACUGUCUGAAUAACAAAAUAAUUAGUUUAAUGUUUAUAGUACAGUGUAAUCUUAACACAUGAUCGGCAUUCUCCAUUAUUUUCACGGAGUCGUGCCAACAACACUAGGCACUCCAUCUUUUACUAUCCCUGCAUUUUCGUGAACUUUGUCCAUGAAUAAGAAGCUUGCAUGGUGUUGGAAAUUAAGAGUUAAAUGUCAAUGUCACUACAUUUCAUGAAAAAAAUACCAUCGAAGCUAAAACCUCCAGGAUGAGGAUUUUAUGUAAGUAAUGAAAUCGGUUUUAUGCAUGUAAAAAUACCAUAACAACACUUAGGCAUAAAUUAUAAAGCCCUCGUUUUAUUUAUGUUGCACAAAGAUUCUUAUAACAGAUGAUAGGCUGGUUACAGAAUUACUAACAUACCAAAACAGUACAACAAGAAAACACACAAUUACUUGAGUCUUUCACAUUGGACAUGCCACAAUCUUUUUCAUCAAGUUCACAUCCUUCACAACAUACGCUUACAAAUAUAGCAACUUGUAAUCAAAUUUAUGCUUCAUAUGAUCAUGAUUCGGAAAUCAUAGGCCCUUCAUUUGAGAUGGUGAGUCUCAAUAUCCUUAGUGAGUUUGGUGGCAAGGUCUGCUAUAGUUGUUGGAUCAGGGACGCUGUGAUUCAAUUUCUCGUACUGGAGGGUCCAUAUAACCAAGUUGUUUUGACCAUGAUUUUCAACCUGAACAGUAAUGAUGAAGCUCUUGUACAACUUCAACAGGUCUCCUUCAAUCACCUUAAAUGUGACCGACUUCUUUUCCUUGUCUAUAGACUCAAUUAUCUCCUUCGCCACCUUCUUUUGUCCAUCUGAAAAGACGUGAACAGUGGAAUUAAUUAACCAAUAGAUUAGGUACUGGAUUUUGAAGCCGAAAGGCAUAAUUUUAAACGGCCAAAGUCUCGCCAGCGCAACUUUAAGCAACGUAGACUUGUUGAGUAUUUAAGAAUGCUUGACCAACUUAUAAAGCAAUUUAAUGCUCUUCACGACUUGCAUGUAGCAGAUAUAACAAGAAAGAUUGACAGAUUUGAACUUUGGAAGGAAAACCCCCAAAAAAAAAAAAAGUAUUAAAAUGGUAAAAGUAAAUCGAUGGAAAAAAUGGAAAGAAUCAGAAACUUACCGUGAGUAUAUGUCCAGAAGAUGAUAGAUCCUACUGUUCCCCAAUCACCAUGAUGCAGCUCACAACCAUGAACGAUAUCAGGGCUUAUGGAGGACAUUUCAUGUGGUUUGUUUUUGAAGAGCUCAUGAAACAUAUCUCCAUUGGACUUAAUUUCGAUUUGGAAAACCAGUUUACCAGUUAGACUCAUUUCUUCAGAGAUCUAUUAACCAAGAAACGAAGACUGAUGAAAGCAAGGGGUUAAAAAUGGUUUAGGCAUGAAUAAUUGAACAUGAAUUUAUAUCAAUGAGAAAAAAUGCUGUUUUCUUUUCGUUUGUUUACAUGUCGCUUUCGCACUAUCUUACUUCAUAGAUCAUGCACUAGUGCAAUGUACUAUCAUUUAUUAGAUACUCUGACUAUUUUAGAAUAUAAAAUUUAUAUGGAUAUUGUUAUAGAAUUAGUCUGGGGGCUAUUUGAUUCUAUACAAGAAGUUUUGCAAUCCGUACUGUUAGUGAUGUAGAUUUUUCGCUUUAAUCCAAGUAAAACAUACAAAGGAUUCUUCUUCUUGCUUGGGAGAACAAAAAGUUCUAAAGAGAAAAAAAAAAAGAGCAAAAGCCCUUUUGCCAUCCCCAGUUCGGAAGUCUUAGAGCUGCCCAUGGAGUAUGGAAAAUACUUAGAUUAGCAGUGCAGCCAUCAAAGAUCCAUAUCACCAAUUGUGACUACUUACAUGGCAACAUGGUUUGUAAAUAAGCUCAUAAAUCGUGGAUCGUUCAAGAAUUUUCCAUAAAGUAUAGAGGCUUUGAAUAGGCGAGCAGUAAAUCCUAGCCUAUGAAAUUUGGACAGGAUAUACAGUUCAUAUGUUUAAUUGUAGCAAAUAUAUCUUUCAUAAGUACUUCAUUUAGGUUAUGUGUAUAUGGUAUGGGAACUAAAAUUGCCAUUUACACACUUUCAUGAAUUAUUUUCAACUUUGGUGACGCUCGAUUCAAUUUGUAAACGAUUUUUAUGAUCAAACAAGGUAACUUUUUGUUUCGAAGAAAUAGAUCUGCAAUCUUACUAAAAUUCUUUGGUCAUACUUAAACUGUUAAUCUAGUAUAGGGACUUUUUAAUGUAUAAUACAGGGUUCAAGAAAUUAUGAACAAAAAAAUACAAGUGAUCGAAACAAAUAAAGCACUUACAAAAAAAUAAAUUAGGGCAAAAUAUAUUUUACACCCUUAUGGUUUAGCGAUUUUUUACAUAACCCCAAUAUAGUUUCAAAAGUUAUACAUAAUCCCUUUAUACUUUAAAUUAAAGUAUCAAGAUGACGGAAUUUGCAUUCCAUAAUGGAACCAAUUAAAAUGUCAAAAGUAUUCCUAUGUAAAGUUAAAAAUUAUUUAUUAACUAUGAGGGGAUUAUAUAUAUAUUUUGAAAACCAUAAAAGGGUUAUAUGAUAAAAUAGUAAACCAUAAGGGAAUUAUAUGGUAAAAUAUAAAACCACAUAGGGUUAGAGUGUCAUGCAUAUUAUGUUUAUAUAUUUUGGUAACUUCAACCAUUUUUUUUAAUAAAGGUAAUUUUGGCAUUUUCAUGGGUUCCAUUACAAAUGAUUAUUUUUGUUAUUUUGAUACUUUAAUCAAAACUAUAAGGGGAUUAUAUAUAACUUUUGAAACUAUAGGGAGGUUAUGUGAAAAUUUGCUAAAUCAGAGGGAAAUAAAGUGUAUUUUGUCCAAUAAAUUAAGUAAAAGUUAAAUAAGUAAAAUAUUUAGAAGCCAAGGAGGCUUUUUGCCUAAUGAUUAAGAUUAAAACUCUAGAAAUUAGAAAUCUUAAAUUAAGAUCUCCCAUCUCUCCCUCACGUCUUAAUUCUCACCCCUCCCCAGAUAAAAAAAAAUUAAAAAAAUAUAAAAUGUCAUUCCAUGGAAGUAAUUUGUUUGGAGCUCAUUCUUCCCAUGAUAGAGUUGAGCUUGUGAAUCAGUGAUGCAUUACAUCUCUACACUCCCCAACACCUUAUUGUUUAUCUAUAACAGUCAUGAGUCUUUAUCUAGAGACAGCAGGAAGAAAGACAAGUUAGAAGAUUUGCCAAAAAUGAAUAUUAAACCUUGUAAUAUUCAGCAAGGGGUGCAAAAUAUUCAGAGAUGCAUGAUUGACAAUACAUAACUUGUAAAUGCAGAAUUCCAUUAAGCAAAUAUUAUCAGUAAACUCAUAAUUAAGCAAAUAAAGUAACAAUGUGUCCACCAUCCUCAGAUCUUUCUGGGCCACAAUAUAAUCGCCCCUCGAAUAUGAUAGAUUACGAGUUAUUAAUUAUUCUUAAACUGUUUAUGAGUAUAAUAUUCUCGUAGAAGUUACUGUGCAUUAGGAUAUAAUUAUCCACUCAAUUCACUGUCAAUUGAAUUUUCUGCUUUCCAAUUGAUUACAGAAUUUACAUAUACAAAUCACAAAUAAUUUUUAUAAGUUUGUAGCGAUAAACACUAAGGUGCCUCGAUGAUAUGGCCACUCUUUGGAAGGAUCAUCUCCAAGAUAGGAGAGUACAGUCUUAUUGCCAUUGACUAGUCAUGAUCACCAAGAUGAACAAUACAUGGGCUCUUAUUUAAUUGAUAAGAUCCAACAGCUUUAUAUGUCUGCCCUUCAAAUUAAUUAAUGUACCCAAACAAUUAAAUGGUAGUUGCUAGGCAUACAUUUGUGGCUAGUAUACAUGGCAAUGGGUUGGCUGAAAAUCUGUGAUAUAUAUAUAUAUAUAUAUAUAUUCCAAUUACAAUUUGUUGAUACAUGCCUGCACAAGUUUAAAAAAUGAAAAAAAAUAUAUAUAUAUUUUUUGUGUAGGAGACCAAAAUCAAGACACAUAAAUAAAUUAAAAAAAAUGACUUUCAAGGAACAAAACUCUUUUCCUAAUGCAUGACACCUGAUAGAAAAUGACUUAUGUAUUUGUGCUGAUUGUCCAAGGAAAAAAUAAAACUAGGUAAGAGAGGGGCAAGACAAGGAAAAAUUUCAUGAUAUACCAAUACUUCUGCUAAUCGGCACAGCAGGGCAAGGAUCUUAAGAAUGAAUAUAUGAAUUCAAAUUCAAUUAUUCAAAAAAAAUAAAUAAAUGCAAGACUAAAUCGAAAUGAGACCUCAUAGUGUAAUAAUAUCUGUCAGGCCCUGAUUCUCAAUAUCUGUCUCUUCAAUUUACUCUGCAAACUUAUUUAAUCACAUUCUUAUGAAUAAGUACUCCAAACAGUGGACUGACCUUUGAAUCAAAAGGUAACUGAUAAAGAAUGCUAUGAAUCGAUCAAAUAAAUCAACAUAUAACUAAUUUAUUGAAUUAGAGGAAACAAAGUUUUCCAAGCCAUCACAAUCGAUGUCCGCCAAUAAUUCAGCAGACAAUCUGCCAGCAGAAAUUUAUGAAUCGAUCAUACCAAAAUUAUCACUCAACUUAUUUCGUGCCCAUUUGACUAAACAUUGUAUAGACAAAAAAAAAAAUCCAUGGCCCGCAAUUUUAUUUGAUAUAUUCACAAUGUCAUUUUUCCCCUCUUUUACUGGCUUUGGGCUUCCUUUUUUAUAUAUUUUCUUGACAACAACUCUUAUCACACGUAUCAUGGCAUUUUUAUUGAGCUUGACGUCAAAUAAAUAUUCAUCAUAUCCUUUCAUUGGAUGCGACGGCAGAGAAAUUGACUCUAUAUUAUUACUUCGUGCUUGAAGACGGUAAAAUAAUAAGAUUUAGAUAAGCACAAAAAAAAAAAAAGGAGAAGUUGGUCUACUACUAAACUUUGAAAUUAUCAUUCAUCUCUUGAAUUGUAACACUUUCACAAUAAAAGUUUUUAUCCUUUUGGACAAAGAAUAAUGCCACACCAACUUCUUAUCUGUUGCACUUAAGGCGCUAAAUAGACGAACCCAAAAAAUAAAUGCUAAAUGAACGUAUUUUCUAGCUAUCUAUAUCUAUCUCCAUGUUAUUAUGAUAUCCAACAAUUUGCAAUUGUGAGGUUAGCUACAGCCUGUGGUGCGUAUUUUUUUGGCACAAUUGGUGGUUUCCUUUAUUGUCACUAGUCAUAAUAGAAAAAACAACUCACUCAUGUUUGGAUAUAUUAUUACUUGAAAAAAAAAAAUUAUACUUGUAUCAGAAGCACAUUUUUUCAUUUUAUUUUUAUCUUUCGAAUUUUUUCUUUAUUUCACAAACUUUACAUACAUUGUUAUUAAAUUCAGCCCAUAUAUCAACCCAAUUCAGUAACUAGUUCAAUGGGAUAUUGGUUCAACCCAGGAUUCACUGAUUGACUCGAUGGUUGUAUUAUAUAAUAAAAUAAUGUAUUUGGAUUAUUAAAAAUAAUAUAAUCAUUUAACAAGUUGUUGAACCGCCAAUUUUUUGAGAUUUUACGAAUUGAAUUGAUAAACCAUUGACUAGUUAAUGUGCUCCUCUCUUAAUUGAUCUAACUACUUACCUAGCCCGAUUAGGUAGCUAGUUCACCAAGUUGUCUAGUUGAACCUAGGGGUGUAAUCAAACCAACUCGCGAGCAGCUCGGUCAAAAAUUUGACUUGAACUCGGGUUGACCGAGUUCGAGUCUAAUUCGAGCGCCUCUAUAAAGCAAACGAGUCGAGUUCGAGUAUUCAGAAGCAACGCUCGAGAGCUAGUCGAGUCUUAUCGAGUUUUUUAAUUUUAAUUCUUUAAUAUAUUAUUAUUAUAAAAUUACUCUUAUAUCCAAAAUAGUUAUUGAAUUUACGAAAUGUUUCAAGUCGUAUAAAAAUUUUAAAAGAGCAAUAAUGUCUUUUCACUAAAAAAUUAUCAAGAAAAUGAAAUUUUGUAGCUCGAUAAGGCUCAAAUUGACUUGAACCCAUGCGAGUCGAGCUCGAGUUCUACGAGCAAGUUUCGAACUCGAGUUCGAGUUCCAAUAAUACUACUCGCUCGAGAGUCGAGAUCGAGUAUGGCACUCGAUUACAUCCCUAGUUGAACUGUCAAAUUGUGUCAUGAUUAUAUCAUAAAAUGUACUAUAACAAUUAUUUCAAAUAAUAUUUCGAAUAAUGCCUUCAUCAAAUCUCCAAACAGUGACUUUCGACUGACUUUCGAGCCCAUUGUUGUUGAAGCAUACAAUUCGUUGUAGGAACUAUCCCAAAAAACAAAAAGAAGGUUGGAACUAUUAAUUCAGGGAGGAUAAAUCAAACAAAAACAAAAGUAUAGAUUUGGUCCACGUAGGCAAGAUUAGAUAUGACUGGUAAUUGCUACAGCUACCGAAACAUCAAUAGAUAGCAACAUUUCAAGAUUUGAUAGUACAAUCCUAUCAAUUGAUUACGAGGACCGUCGAUUGAUAGUAAAUUUUUCCGUCAUUUUUGUAACAUGAUAAAAAUUUUCUACACAGUAUACAGUAAAAGAAAAACGCCAAUCUAUGAGUGAAGACUACUCGUGAAAUAUGUAGUACAAGAAUUUGAAGUUUUCUACUUUUAUCUGUCGGAUUUUUGCUUUUUACUUUGGUGCAUUUGAAUUGUAUGUUAAUGCAGGGUCAGUUAGCUAGCCAUGAAGAACAUAUAAUAGCACUAUAUGUAUAUAAGGUAUUUGGAUCCUACUUCUGAUGUAAGGGCCAAAUUGGUGAGUAAUAUCUAAGUACCGUGUAACUGAUUUAUAGUUUCAAGAGCAUAUUCUAACUUUCGAUAAUGAUCGGAGUCGAAACUAUCCAAACUUUAUUCUUACAAAAAACGAAACAUAAGAGGAAAAUAUUUUUCACGGAAAACCUGACUUCUUUUUGUAACGAGCUUUGUAACGAAGAACUCAUUGUUCUAUAUGGCGAAGUAUCCAUUACGGCACUGUAUUAUGCACCACAACCUAAUUUAUGAUGUGCUUCUGCUUCUCAUGCUCUUGGUCUAAUUCUAUUUUUUCUUCACGAGAUAAGAAAAACAAUUCCCAACGUAGACAUGAAAUAAAGUUAAAUUGAAAUGAGUUACUAAUAUGUUUGGUUACAAUCUUUUAAUAUUGAAUCGAUUUCACACAUCCGGGUAUCUAAGUUUAACUUAUUUUAUGUUGUUUUAACAUUGUCUGAUUUAGAUGCACGAUUGUAAUGGAGGAAUUGAGAGUUAAAAAAAAAAAAAAUGGUUUCACUUACUGAGGGGCUGCUUGGUUAAAGGGUUUGGGAAUCAAAUAAUGGAAUGAACCCCUUAUUUGUUGCUUGGGUUAAGUCUAUUGGAAUGCAAUUUCUGGAAUCAUUUCUAAAAAAUCGGACUUUCACCAUUCCUGAGUAAAUUGGGAGGUUUUGGACAAAACCCUCAACUCAUUCCCGAGCAAAAACAUUUAUGACGAACCUACCCUCUUUUUUUCUUCAUUACACGCCGCAUCUUCUGUUCUUCUUCUUCAUCAGAUUUUCUACCUCUUCUACUUCACCGGUUGGACAACCAUAAAGAUCAGUGGCUUUCGACUCUCCUUGGACAACGAAUUCUAGAGUUGAAGAGUCUUCUACUAGGGUGAAUUCCUUGAUCCCAGGUUAGUGGAUUACAAACUCCCUUGCCUCUGCAAUUUUCUUUUCGUAUGCAAGCUUUUCUCUUUCUUCUUCUCUGUUUUUUCAGGCUACUCACUGGGUAGCUGAAAAUAAAGAAGAAAAGAAGGGAAUCUGAUACAAUAAAACUAACUAGACCAAAAUUGGUUGUAAUACAUGUAUUUGAAUUCACUUACUUCAACAAAUACAUUAUUUUGUUCUUUUUUUUGGUGAGAUAAAUGUUAAUGUCACUAGAUUUGUCAUUUUUAUGGUUUUAAUGUGUUUUCUUGGAUUACGCAUUCAAUGGAGGUCAAUCAAUUCUUGAUCUUUUGGUUAUUUGAUCCGUGAAUACUGGUAUAGUUUGGGUGGGUUUCUACAUGCCCUGUACCUGUUUGUAAAAUUGUCUGCUUGAAUAGCUUUCAGUUUCAUAGUUAUUCGUACAUUAGGAUUUCAAGUUUCAACCAUCAAUUUCAUUUGUUUAUGCUUAUUUAUAUCUAUACAUCAUUGUGUUUUCGGAUGUUUGAUGCAUGUCUAGGCCCUUUUAAUAAGAUCAAUUGAUGUUUAAUGCAUUUGAAGAUUUUGAUGCCGUAAUCUAGUUUGGUGAAUACUUACGUUUGGUUGUCAUAUUGUUAUGUAGACAAAGAUGCCACGUUUGCCUAUUGAAAACAGAAGACGCAAAAAAUAUCGAGGGCAAAGCCAGAUUUUAUCAGGAAUGAUAAUGGUUGUUAUUGCACUGUUUAUGAUGUGGUACCAGUUAAUAUUCAUACAUCUCAAAAGUAGAAGACGCCAAAUAAAAUCAAAAGAAGAAAAAGUCACUGAGCGCAUGCAACACUUAUUCAAUUUGACUAGGGAGAGUGAUGCUUAUUGUAUUAGCGAACUUCGUAUGGAUAGACGAACAUUUGGGAUAUUAUGUGAAAUGAUUAGAGACACUGGAGGUUUGAAAGCUAUAAGAAACAUGUCAAUAGAAGAAAUUGUUGCCAUGUUUGUAUAUGUUUUGGCUCACCACAAGAAAAGUAGAACAAUUUGUGGUCUAUUUUGGAGAAGUAGAGAAACGGUGAGUCGUCAAUUUAAUCUUUGCCUCCUAGCAGUUUUGAAAUUGCAUACUAUAUUACUUAAGAAGCCUGAGCCUAUUACCGAAGAUUGCACAGAUGAGACAUGGAAAUGUUUUAAGGUAAUUCAAAUAUUAAAAUACAAUCAUUUAAUAAAAUGUAUGUUUUCAUCUAAACUAUCCAAUAUAGACAUUUUAACUCAUUUAUAUUUUUUAUUUUUGUUAAAAUAGAAUUGUUUAGGUGCCUUAGAUGGGACAUUAAUAGAUGUGACACCACCCACCGAACAAAAAUCAAGAUACCGAACGAGAAAAGGAAGUAUUGCAACGAAUGUAUUAGGGGUUUGUUCUCCUAAUAUGCAAUUUAUCUAUGUCUUGCCUGGUUGGGAAGGUUCGGCACAUGAUGGUCGUGUGCUUCGAAAUGCUAUCUCUAGACCAAAUGGUCUUAGAGUCCCACAAGGUAAACAUAUAUUGCAGUAUUCAAUACCAUUCAAUCAAUUUUUUUUCGAAAAUAAGGUAGUCUAGUAUUAAUUUGUACAUGAUUGAAUUUUGAAGGUUGUUAUUACUUGGUGGAUGCUGGAUAUUGUAAUGCUGAUGGAUUUCUUGCCCCUUAUCGAGGGCAAAGAUAUCACCUUAAUGAAUUCAAUGGUUAUCGACCACAAAGACCAGAGGAAUAUUUCAACAUGAAACAUUCUAAAGCUAGAAAUAUCAUAGAAAGAUGUUUUGGAUUACUAAAAGGAAGGUGGAAGAUUCUAGCAUCCCCUUCAUUUUUUCCAAUUCAAAGACAAGUGCGAAUAAUUAUGGCAUGUUGUCUGCUGCACAACUUGAUAAGGAAGUUCAUGACUUUUGAUCCACAAGAAUUACUACAAAGUGAAGAAAAUGAAAGUGAAGAUGAAGACAGUGAUGAAGAAGUAGAGUGUAUAUCCACUAUUUUGCCAAGUGAUCAAUGGGCAAAUUUUAGAAAUAAUUUAGCACAUGAAAUGUUUGACAAUUGGAGGGCUGGACUUAGUAUUUAGCUAUGAAUGGAUGUUUAGCUCUUAGACUUAUUAAAUUUGGAUUGACAUUUGAUGUACUCUUGUAGUGGAUUUGUGAAUUAGAUUGACACUUGAUGUAUGUUCUUUUAAAUUUGGAUUGACUUUUAAUUGUAUGUUCUUUUAUGUGUUUUGUUAUAUUAUAAAUUUCAGUUAUAUGCUAUUGUGUAUCAAAAUUAAUUGAUAUAUAUGGGUUGACUUCUAAAUGAUAGGAUGGAGAAUGAUGAAAUUGUACGUGGAAGAGGGAAAAAUAAAUGUUUUUGGACUGGUGAAGAGGUAAAAGUGCUCAUAGAAUCAUUGCAAGAGUUGGCUUGUGAUCCAAUGUGGAAAUCAGAUGGAGGAUUUAAAAAUAAUUAUAUGAGCGAAUUGCUUAAAAUUAUCUUGCGUAAGCAACCUACUUUUACCAAACAAGUCAGCCCACAUAUUGAAUCAAAAGUUAAGUGGCUGAAAAAUAGGUUCCAUGCAAUUGUUGAAAUGUGCAAAGAAAGUGGUUGUAGUUGGAAUGAUGCUGAGAAAAAGAUUUCUUGUGAAAAACAGUGGUAUGAUGAUUGGUGCAAGGUAAGAAAUUGAUUACUUUUUACAUUCUGAUAUGUUCUUUUUCAACCUUUUAUUAAGAUUAUCAUUUAUCUUUCUAUUCUAUCUCUAGACUCAUAAGGAUGCGAAGGGCCUUUGGGAUGUCAAAUUUCCAUAUUUAGGAGAUCUUGAAAUUGUAUAUGGAAGAGACAGAGCCACUGGAAAUGUUGCUGAAGAUUUUGCACAAGCUGUCCAAGAUAUGGAAGAUGUCCAAAAUUUGGAGGAAGGACAUGAAGGGCUUGAUGCUAUGUCAAACUCGGAUAAUGAUAAGGUAGAAGAAGAUGAAGUAAAUUCCAUAGAGCAAUCAACUCAACCAAGCUCAACAAGUACAAGAAAUUCCAAGAAACAAAAGAAACAAUCCCCUCCCAUUGCAAAUGUGUCAAAAAAAAUGAAAUCUGCAUCAACAACAAGGGGUGAUCUUGAUGCAUCAUUGCAACUUCUCACCAGCAAAUUUGGAGAUUUCGUGGAGGGAAUUCAAGCUAAUUUCACAACUAUGGCAGCAGCCAUGUCAAAUGAGGAUAAACGUGAGCAAUUGGUCUCCGAUAGAAGAGAUCAAGUUGUUGCUGAGUUAAUGAAACUUGCUUUACCGAGUGGAGAUGUAAUGAAUGCAGCCGACAUACUUUCGGAGCAGAUUUCCAAGCUUCAUGUGUUCUACAAUCUUCCUGCAGAAAUGAAACGACAAUAUGUAAUUAACCUCCUUUAUCCUCCAUCUACUCGCUGAAGUAAAAUUAUUGUUAGCUGGAAAGUGAUGAUUUGAUGGCAAUUUCUUUUUGUUAUGGUGAUUGUUAGAUGGUUAUAUGAUUAGUCUUUUGGAGAUUGUGGACAUUGAAUGGCACUCUCGACUGGAUUAGACAAUUGACUUGUAUUUGGUAUGGUUAGCUUUUGUGAUUUGAGUCUCCUUCUUUUGUUCAUAUAUGUAAGGAGAGAUCUAUUUCAUAUCAUUAUCUAAUAUAGGAACCACAAAUGACUUGUUAAUGGAGUAAAUUUCCAAAAAGAAAGAGUUUUUAAACUAACUUCCUAAAGGCUGGCAAUUUUUAAGUCUCUUCCCCAAGGGUGAAAAACACAUUCAAGAAAUGUGUUCUUCCAAAUAAAAAUGCAACUUUCAAAUACGUUAUUUUAAUUUUCGUAAAUUUGUUUAAAUAUAAAAAAUUGGUUAAAUAGCGUAUUAAAUACAAAACCUGCUAAUUUCCUAUAAAGAGCUGGUAUCUUAUAAGUAAUUUCUUUUUUUUUUUUUAACUUUCACAUAUUUAAUUUAUGUUAAAUACAAAACAUACUAGUUUUCCUUUGGGCGCUAUUUAAUCAAUUUUUUCCAUAAAGAAUUGGUAUGUUUUCCAUAAAGAGUUGGUACAAAACAUACUACAAAACCUGUCAGUUUCCUUUAAAGAGCUGGUAUCUUAUGGGCAAUUUUGUUUUUUUAACUUUCACAUAUUUAAUUUAUGUUAAAUACAAAACAUACUAGUUUUCCUUUGGGCACUAUUUAAUCAAUUUUUUCCAUAAACCUGGUACAAAACCUGCCAGUUUUCCAUAAAGAGCUGGUAUCUUAUGGGCUAUUUAACCAAUUUUUCAUAUUUAAAUAAAUUUCCAAAACAUAAAAUAGCGUAUUUGAAAGUUGCGUUUUUAUUUGGAAGAACACAUUCCUUGGAUGCAUUUUUCACCCUUUGGGAAGAGACUAAAAAAUCGUCACCUUUUGGGUGAUUGUUUAAAAACUCCUUUUUUUGGGAAUUUACUCCUUGUUAAUGCAGCCACUAUAUUUAUUUUCUGGUAUUAAUUUUUUUAUUAUUUAUGAUUUUCUUAUGUUUUAUCAAAAAGUUAAUAACUAUUGUAGUUACAAUUAUGAAAUGUUAAUUUGUCGUAUGUGUAAUUCUUUUGUUUUAGAAGAAUUGUUAUAUCAGGGGUAAAUUUGGAAUUUAAUUGCAUUUAAUUCCGAAACACUCAUCAAACCAAGCAUCAGGAAUUGGAAUAAUGCUAAUUCCAAUGUGUGAACCAAGCAAGAUAUCGGAAUGAAAAGUUUUAAUUCCAAAACCAGAGUCUAUGAUUCCAAUUACAAUUCCAAUUCCUAAACUUGAACCAAGCACCCCCUGAGUUUCUCUUCAGCUACUGGAUUAGUACCCCAAAAAAAAAAAAAAAUUCAUUAUGGGCUUUUGGUUUUAUAAUUCGCCAUUGCAGUAUGUACCUGAAAUUAUGCACCUUCCCAAAAAGUCCAAAUCCUUCACUCUCAUGGGCUUUACCUGGGAUUGUUCUAAAUUUUUUUAACUUCCUUAUGUGGAUGCUGAACAAGUAGUAAAGUACAAAUGAAGCAUCUUAAGACCAUAGAGGUAUGGCCGUUAACAAAAGAAAUUCGAAGGAACAUAUCAUUUUGGGUAUGAAAUAGGGGUUUACAUGAGUCUACUUAAACUAAACAUGUUAAUGUUCAAAUUUGAUUGAUUAGUUUAUUUGCCAUACCGAACUCAAAUAAGCUUUUAUCAUACUGAGAUUGAGUAUCUUGAAUUUUUACAUGUAAAUUUUAAGUUUUACACCAAUUGAGUUAGAUUCCAAUUGAAGUCGAAACUUUUCUGAGCAAAAAAUAUGAUUCAUAUUUGGCUUGAUUAGUUGGUUACUUAAAUUCAAAUGAGUUUUUACAGUGCCAAAUUUGAUUGGAAUACUAAGUAGGUAAUUGUGGAUGAUGCAAUGCUUGGAAUAAUACUUGACCCUAUUUGAAAACCUAGGCCCUAUUUGACAACUCAAAUCAGCACUUAAAAUUAAUAGAUUCAGAUUUUAAUAUAUUCAGAUGCAUUUAAUAACAAAAAAUAGAACUUUUGAAUUAAUUAAAUGACACUAAAUUUUUUGGGUAAAACUUGUUCUGAAAAAAUAAGUAAUAAGCUAUUGGGUUAUCAUUUAAUGUGAUAUAUACUUAAAUUUAUCAAAUUUAGUAUUUAGCAGUUCAGUAAUUUAAUAGAUUUAGAUUUCAAAGUUUAGAUUUUAGUUUUCAAAUUUUAGUUUUAUUAAACACGCCCUUAGGAAGCAUUUCUAUAAAUAUUAACUUUCCCUUUAUUAAAAGGGAAGGUAAUUGUGUAAUUCACAAGUUGGCAAACUUUAGCUUCAAACUUGUGAAACUUUGUGGAAGGCGUCCUUCCGUCCUUUGAUUAGUUGGAUUAGCCAAAGAUGAUAUAGGAGCUGUUGCUCCAAUUAUGUAACUACUUUUUCCAAUGGCAAUACAUUUCAGUUGUCAUUUGCAAAAAAAAAAAAAAAAAAAUCUUUCAGCUCUAAUUGAGAGAGAAAUAAAGUUUUAUAGGAUUUUACUCAUUAAAACAAUUAUCGAUAAAUGGAACGCUGAACUUUGAAGCUCGAUGUUUAUACAGAAUGAACAAUCAUGGUUAAACAAUUCACAAAUGUUUGAUAGGUAUCAACAUGAACAGUUGCGAUGGAGGUCUUAUAUAACUCCAGCACAUCUCCUUCAAU
This 62478-nucleotide long non-coding RNA is filed under the name Coffea arabica (coffee). RNAcentral describes it as "long non-coding RNA (CARA_LNC007558)". Lineage: Eukaryota; Viridiplantae; Streptophyta; Magnoliopsida; Gentianales; Rubiaceae. The record is from RNAcentral.